AAGGCUUUCAAAGUGCCGAGGAGAAAAACCGGCCUGCUCUUGCCAUUUCCACACUCUGCAAAGCAGUGCACUUUGGGCAAAAUGAAGCCUGAUUCAGAGAGCACCGUGUGCGAGAGCUACCUCUUGCCCAGAGUGGAAGGUAAGCAUGUAUUUAUUUUAUUUAUUUAUUUUUAGGCCUGCAAGCUGUGAAGAGCCACUGUUGAAACAGGUGUGGUAAAGAGAUGCACGCAUAAAGGACUAUUGUGUGUUGAGAGCUCAGAAAGUUGUUGCAGCAGGCGAGUGAACAAAAUGGCGGCCUGGAUAGAUUGAAACUCAAGUGAGAGAAACAGUCCCUUUGGGAAAAGUCUUCUCAUUCCUCUUGAUAAGCGGUUCUCAAACUUCUUUAUUUUUGGUUUGUUCCACCAGCUUUGGUUCUAUAAAUUCAUCCCCAACCCUAAGGAGGACAAUAACACAAUAGAAUUCAGAACAGCAACAGUCAAUUGCACAUUCUGUUCAAAACCCAGCCCAAACUUCUUCCUCUUUUAAUUUAAUUUUAAGAUUUUGAAAUUUACAAACAAUUGUCAAACAACCAAAACAGAAAGAAAAUUCCAUAAAUUUCCAUGGACAUCUUCUCUAUUAAUCCAAUUCUAUUAAAUCUCCACUGCAGCCAUAGUCCAACGUUAAACUACAAGUGUCAUUCCAGUCCUACUAUUAAUUUUAAUUGUUUACAAUGAUUUCUAAAGUAAAUUAUAUAUAUUUCUCCAUUCCUGAUUAAAAUUUUGGUCUUCCUGUUUUCUAAUUCUUACGGUCAUUUUUGCCAUUUCAGCAAAAUCCAUCAGUUUAAUUUGCCAUUCUUCUCUGGUAGGGACUAUAUCUUCUUUCCACCUCUUGGGCUAGUAACGUCUGAGGAGCACGCUUUCUGUUUUGGUGGUUUGACAAUUGUUUGUAAAUUUCAAAAUCUGAAAAUUUAAUAAUAAUAAUAAACACCCAGCCAAAACUAUUUAGUUUAACUAAUUCAACAACAACAACAACAAAUUUAUUAUUUAUACCCUGCCCAUUUGGCUGGGUUUCCCCAGACACUUUGGGCAUCUCACAACAUAUCUAAAAACGUAAUAAAGACAUCAAACAUUAAAAACUUCCUGAUACAGGGCUGCCUUCAGAUGUCUUCUAGAAGUUAUGUAGUUCUUUAUCUCCUUGGCAUUGGAAGGGAGGGCGUUCCACAAGCAGGGUGCCACUACCAAAAAUGGAUGGCCUUGAUCCAGAGAUGUCAGAUAACUGCAUUUCAAAUAUUUUUACUAAUGGAAAUGUAAGGAUGAAGGCAAGGCAUAGCAUAAAAGACUUAUAUGUAACAUGCACAAACCCUUAGUUGUUACCUGUGUGGUAACUAAUUAUAGUGGUACCUUGGUUCUCAAACUUAAUCCGUUCUGGAAGUCCCUUCCAAAACCAAAGCGUUCCAAAACCAAGGCACGCUUUCCUAUAGGAAGUAAUGCAAACUAGAUUAAUCCGUUCCAGACUUUUAAAAACAACCCCUAAAACAGCAAGUUAACAUUAAUUUUACUAUGUAACGAGACCACCGAUCCAUAAAAUGAAAGCAAUAAUCAGUGUAAAAAGGUAAAGGUAAAGGACCCCUGACAGUUAAGUCCAGUUGUAAAUGACUCUGGGGUUGCAGUGCUCAUCUCAUUUUAUUGGCCGAGGGAGCCGGCGUACAGCUUCCGGGUCAUGUGGCCAGCAUGACUAAGCCGCUUCUAGCGAAACCAGAGCAGCGCACGGAAAUGCUGUUUACCUUCCUGCCAGAGUGGUACCUAUUUAUCUACUUGCACUUUGAUGUGCUUUUGAACUGCUAGGUUGGCAGGAGCUGGGACAGAGCAACGGGAGCUCACCCUGUCACAGGGAUUCAAACUGCCGACCUUCUGAUCAGCAAGCCCAAGAGGCUCAGUGGUUUAUACCACAGCGCCACCCAUGUCCCAAUUAAUAAUCAAUGUACUGUACUAUAAAAUAAAUAAGACAGUACUGUAUUGUAGAUGAUAAAAAUUCUUAGCUGCACUGAUAAUAGUCAUUGUUUGGAUUGGAGGCUUUUAUCCACUUCCGCAGAUGCACAUUCAGUCAAUCAAUCAGUAGCUGAACUGGAUUCCACACAGUCACAAAAACAAAUUAACUGAAAAAGCCCCAAAAGCAGAAGCACCAAACUUAAUCCGUUCCAGAACUCCGUUUGACUAACGAAAUGUUCAAAAACCAAGGCGCAGCUUCUGAUUGGUGCAGGCACACUGGAAACAAUAGCCGACAGCUGCAUUGGACGUUCAGCUUCCGGAAAACAUUUGAAAACUGGAACACUUAUUUUAGGGUUUUUGCCGUUUGAGAACCAAGGCGUUUGAGAACCCAGACGUUUGAGAACUAAGGUACUAACUGUAUAAGCAAAUCAAUAGCUAUUACCAAUAAUUUGCUUGUGGAUUGUGACGACUUAGAUCCGAAAAUACAAACGAAGGGAAUAGUUCUGGAAGCGACCAGAGCAGUAAAAUUUAAGUAUCCAGUGAAGAACAUGUUUUGCUCUGCUUCAUUUCCACUCGUGUCUGUUGUAGCCUCCAGCAGAAAGCGUGUAACUUUCUAUACCACGAAUAUGUUCCCGUUUAUUUAUUUGUUUUGUGUCCCGCUUCCGUCAUGCUUUAUAGUGCAAGAGCGCCCCUCCGGACGGCGAUAAUGCGGUAACAUUGGGGAAGUAUUGCAGAACAACUAGUAAAGCAGAAUGUCGUGCCGACGGUCCAGUAUGAAUCCACAACAAUUUUGUUCUUGUUCCAUGUUUGCCGCUACUGAAAAAAAAUGCCCAAAGGGGCAUCAUUUGCUUUUGAAACUGAGAGUCCCUUCUUUGCGUUAUGAGUUUGGGGAGGGGUAGGCUAUACGCGGAGGCCCUUUUAAUUCCUGGAUUAGUCAGGCUAGUUUCUUGGUGAGGUAUUGGCUCUAAGACCCUUUGCCUUUUUAUGGGUCGUUAAGGUAACAAAGGAAGUGGCUCUGUGCCAGAUGACAGGCGAAUAGGUUCCCCCUCCCUCAACUCGCUGGUAGUUAAAAAGACAGCCCAGAGUUGGCUGUUUUGAGUUAAGUGCGCUAGAAGCUAGAGGAACAGGCAGGCUGGAACCCGAGAGAGGGAGACAUGCUUGAAAUCUGCUUGAUUGGGGUGUUAAUUCUGUGAACCCUUCCAUUGUAGGCUCAGGUUGUAGAUAUGUGUGUAUACAAUCCAGUCGUGCAAAAACCAGGAGUUUCUGCACCACAUUUAACACAAGAGGCAUUGCACAUAUCCAGCGUAGUGGGCAAUUUAUGAUUUUGCUAUUUCAUAUUAUUUGAUGCAUUGAUUGCCGUUUUGUUACAUCUUGGUUUUGUAUUAAUGGGACGUUCCCUUCUGCAGGGACUUACCUACCAAAAAAUGGUGUAUAAAUAAAAUGUGGACUGUCCUGCCUUGGAGGUUUCUAAGCAGAGGUUGGAUAGCCAUCUGUCAUGCAUGAUCUAGCUGAGGUUCCUGCAUUGCUGGGGGUUGGACUAGAUGACCCUCGGGGUCCCUUUGAAUUCUACGAUUCUGUGAUUUUAUAAUGCAACAAUUAAAGGGCAAAUCCUGACCAUGCAAAACCACUCAGAGCUGGGCCAGUGAGGGGGUGUGGUCUUCCAUCAUGUAGAUUGGAUUGGUGAGUUCCUCACUGGUUGUUGUUUAGUCGUUCAGUCGUGUCUGACUCUUCGCGACCCCCUGGACCAGAGCACGCCAGGCACUCCUGUCUUCCACUGCCUCCCGCAAUUUGGUCAAACUCAUGUUAGCAGCUUCGAGAACACUGUCCCACCAUCUCGUCCUCUGUCAUCCCCUUCUCCUUGUGCCCUCCAUCUUUGCCGACAUCAGGGUCUUUUCCAGGGAGUCUUCUCUGCUCAUGAGGUGGCCAAAGUCUUGGAGCCUCAGCUUCAGGAUCUUUCCUUCCAGUGAGCACUCAGGGCUGGUUUCCUUCAGAAUGGAGAGGUUUGAUCUUCUUGCAGUCCAUGGGACUCUCAAGAGUCUCCUCCAGCACCAGAAUUCAAAAGCAUCCAUUCUUUGGUGAUCAGCCUUCUUUAUGGUCCAGCUCUCACUUCCAUACAUCACUACUGGGAAAACCAUAGCUUUAACUAUACAGACCUUUGCUGGCAAGGUGAUGUCUCUGCUUUUUAAGAUGCUGUCUAGGUUUGUCAUUGCUUUUCUCCCAAGAAGCAGGUGUUUUUUAAUUUCGUGACUGCUGUCACCAUCUGCAGUGAUCAUGGAGUCCAAGAAAGUAAAACCUCACACUGCCUCCAUUUCUUCUCCUUCUAUUUGCCAGGAGGUGAUGGGACCAGUGGCCAUGAUCUUGGGUUUUUUGAUGUUGAGCUUCAGACCAUAUUUUGCGCUCUCCUCUUUCACCCUCAUUACGAGGUUCUUUAAUUCCUCCUCACUUUCUGCCAUCAAAGUUGUGUCAUCUGCAUAUCUGAGGUUGUUGAUGUUUCUUCCGACAAUCUUAAUUCCGGCUUGGGAUUCAUCCAGCCCAGCCUUUCGCAUGAUGAAUUCUGCAUAUAAGUUAAAUAAGUUAGUACUUUGCAAACCACCUGAACAUCCCAAACAAACCAACCCUGUAAGGUGUGUAAGGAGCAUAAUGCCACACUUCAGAUCCCUUCCUGUGUAAAAUCCCGAAGGAUACAGUCCAGAGUGACCCAUGGCAUCCUCGCUUGCCCCUUUGCUCACCAUCUCUGGUGCACUAAAGCAUUUUAACACCGCAGACUCUGGGGUGUCAAAAUGCAAUUCUUGUGUAACGUUCUGUUCUGUCCGGGAAGCAAAUGUUCCAUCACUUCCCUCCCUCCCCAACUCCUCUUCUUUCUAUAGCGUAGGAGACAUCGGGAGAAAAACGAAGUUAGCGAGGAUUCUCCACCACCCGAGCUGGAAUGAUGGAAAGCGCGAAAGUAAACAAAUUUGGAGCAAAACCUUUCCAAAGUGCCACCGAUGAUUGAGAGCGAGUGUGCUUUAAAAACAGAGCGCUGAAGUGGGCAGGCUGUCGUGGCAAAAUGCCACAUCAAAUUGGUCUGUUGGUUUAAAGCGCUGGAAAGUUUAUUAUCGUUCAACAUCCAAGGGCUUAGCUUUUCUAAGACGAAAAAAGCAGAGAGUUUAUGUUUCGCAAGUGAGGAAUCUCAAGUGGGGAGGAGAAAAGCAGGGCUCCCCCCAACAGGUGAUUCCACAACUGCAAACGUCCCUAUUUUCCAGGGACCGUCCCGGAUUUACAGAAGUCAUCCCGGUUUCUGAUAUGAUGUGAGGUAGCUCAGUGGGUUAGAGCAUGGUGCUGAUGAUGCCAAGGUUGCAGGUUCGAUCCCUACAUGGUACAGCUGCAUAUUCCUGCACUGCUGGAGGGUCAGGCUAGUUGAUCCACAGGAUCCCUUCCAACUGUGUUCCUCUCAACAGUGAUUUAUGUGUUGUGGAUAGAGAGAUAAUUUAUUGCGGUCGGGGACCAGCUUAUAAAACACACUUGGGGGUAAAAUCCCAGAAAGAAAACAGUUAAAACAAUGUACAACAAUAAAUUUAAAAUUUAUAAAUGCGAUAAGCAUCUAGACACUUAAAACUUUAAGAUAAGCUACCGCAGAGAGAUGACCCAGAGUCACCCAUGGAACUGAGUUUGGGGAUUUUCUUCACGAACUAGUUUGAGUCGGGGGACGGUCUGCGCCUACAGAUCUGUACACAGAAUCUGGCGACCAUCCGGGUCGUCUUCUGGUCUUUGCCUAACAGGAAAAGGUCGAAUUUUUGCUUUUCCAGGAGGUCAGCGAGCCUCACCAGCAGGGGAUCAAUGGUCUCACUACGUGCCUCUUCAUAAAAGGGACAUCUAAAGAACAAGUGCUCUGGGCUUCCUAUAUCACCCAAUGGAUGGGCGCAAAGUCUCUGAGCAUAUGGGACUUUUUUAAAGGCUCCUUCCAGGACCGGCGAGGGCAGAGCCGAGCUUCUGGCAAGUGUAAGGCCCUUCUAGCAUUUUUGGAUACGAGAAAGAAGAGAUAUGCUGCUGAUGCGGCUAUAUAUCUCCCGAUUUCUCCAAUUUUAUAGUCGGGGCACCUUGAGCAGUCCUGUUGUCUCUCGGUGUCUAUGAUUCUUUACGUGACUGUAGCUUUUGCCUGGCCCAACCCCAGACUUAGGAGGGCUUGAGGGGCAAAACCCAGUUUCUGAAGGGUGUUCAGUACUGCUGUCAGCCAGCCUGACUGAUUAUGUGUUGUGAGUUGACGAUUUGCAUAGUUGGCCAUAUUGAUGACUCCCCCCAUCCCCUUAGCAGGCUGGUGCUAAAAGCUCUCCAGUUGUUGGUAAAAUUGGUUUCUGUACGCCUCCACUGCAGCAAGAGUACUCUACGCACAAAAAUGGAAAACAUCAGAAAUCCCAACAAAAGAGGAAUGAGUACUCAAGAGGAAUGAGGCACUCAGAAAUGGCGGAACUCGUGGUUUAAAUAAGGAAUCAGAAAGAUGAAAUAUCUUUGGAAGAAUGGAGACCCUUUUCAGUCUAGAUAAGACCACAAUACAGCCAAAUAAAAGUUCAAACAGGUUUUGACUUACGAGCAAUGGAAAGAAAAUAGAAAAACAUUGUACAGUAAUAGAGGGUUUAGGUCAGGGGUCAACAAACUUCUUCAGCAGGGGGCCGGUCCACUGUCCACUGUCCACUGUCCACUGUCCACUGUCACUGUGGGGGGCCAGACUAUAUAUAUAUAUAUAUAUAUAUAUAUAUAUAUAUAUAUAUAUUUGGGGGGGGGGGAAUGAACAAAUUCCUAUGCCCCACAAAAAACCCAGAGAUGCAUUUUAAAUAAAAAGACACAUCCUACUCAUGUAAAAAUACGCUGAUUUCCGGACCUCCUGUGGGCCGGAUUUAGAAGGCGAUUGGGCCGGAUCCGGCCCCCGGGCCUUAGUUUGCCUACCCAUGGUUGAGGUGAAUAGGUAAGGUUAAGAGGUUGGACUGGCAGCAGGCAGGAGAGAGAACGAGACCCUCAUGGAUGUAAGGAUGAGAAGUCGCCAAGAUAAAUAGAUUUUGAUGUAAAUUGUAUGUUAUAUGAUCUGAAUGUAAGUCAAUGUGAAAAAAUAAACAUAUUUUCAAAGAAAAGAACAAGCUCUCCAGUAGUACAGGGGCUUUUCUGGGCACUUAGACAUGAGAUUUGUAAGGGUAGCUCGACAGGAAUGCCGAGUGUCAAACUGCUACCUUUUGGAAGAUUUGCACCUGCAAUUUAACUACCAGUGGCUUUUCCCUUAAUGUACUUUGAAAAUACUUUUGAUUAAAAGCCUGGCUAGUGAGAGAAGCAAGUGUAAGGCCUGCCAAACCUUUGAUCAACCCUGUUAAUUUAUCAAGCCCAGAAAGUGUGGCGUGGACUUUGCCAUUUAAGCAUUGCUAGCAACGCACAGCAGAUUGUACUGCGUAAGAAGAAAACCGAUAGCUGAACUCCCUCCAGCUUUUGUGACUCAAGGAGCUAAUGGAAUUAUUUUCUUGGGUUGUCGAUAAGAUGCGACUGUGAUUGAUGGCGCAUGCUGCCGCCUCAUUUAUAGAGCGCCCCAUAUUAUCUCUGAGGGUUGUGCACACUGGAUUAGGCAGCUUUAAUUCCCGAUGGAUUAAUCAUAGAUAAAUGUUCCCUUUUGGGUUUUAUGCAUGCAGUAACAAGCUCAGGCUAGGAGUACAUGCAGAGCAUAAGUUUUCAGUAAAUGAUAAUGGGGGAUGUAAUCCACUGGGAGCAGUCAAGUACAACAUUUCUUGUUUUCCUAGCGUGGACAUGUAAGGGGAUGUUUGGUCCAGCCAAUUGAAACUUCCUGUUUCCUCCUGGGCUGGAGCAUCCUUCCUUGCAUGUGACUAGAAGUGGGUGUGACCUUACCUGUCCAGGUAACAAAAAGGACAAGUCACAUAGCACUCUCUCUCUUUUUGACUUUCUUCUUCGUUGGACCAGCUUUUUAGCUAGGGACUGCUAUGUUAGCUUUCAGCUAGCAUAAACACCGGGAUUAUAUUCCCAUAUGGGGUAGAUCCACAUGUACAUAUUUGUAACUAAGUCUGCCUUCAGGGAUCCAACUGUGAACUGAUGUGAGUAAACUUCUUUUAUUGACUUUAGGUAAGAUUGUUUGCAGUGAUAGUUUUAGCUAUAGUAUGAGAGGGGAAAGUAUACUACAGUGGUGUGUGUGUGUAUGAGUGUAUGUAUGUGUUUUCUUUAAAGAGAGAGGGGUGAGGGGGAGAGAAAAAGAGAGAAGGAAGAGGAGAGAAGGGAAGAAGAGGAGGGGGUGGGAGAGGUAACAAUAGCAGUGGCAGUGGUGUGGGGAAAAGUUUUGUUUUAAAGGAGGGGGUUUAGGUAAGAUUAUUGUGUCUUUAUUCUUUUAAGAGGGAUUAAAGGGAAUUUACCAGGAACUAUACAAUUCAAUCUGAGACAGACUGAAAUUGUAUAAUAGUGAGAGGCUUACACAAGCCUGCAACCAGCUAUCUGCCGUGCAUGUAAAGGGGAAUGUAAACUCUGCUACGUAAAGGAACUUGCUAGCGCAAGUUAGGAAGGAUAUUAAUAAACAAUAUAUCCUCUCCUGCCUCCCUGAACAUUCCCACAGAUAAUUUGGUCCCCCUGCUUUAUUAGGUUAAAAUGUAGAGCAUGGGGGGGACUUCAGUUGCACAGUGAGGCUUGAAUAUUUGGCCGAUGAGUAUGAGUUGAGAUGAGAGAGAGAAAAUAGCACAUACAUUGUCUGGAGAGAAUAACAAACAAAAUGGCAUUUGGUGAGUUUGCAUAUCUGCAUCCUCUUUCAGCCUAACUGAAUACAGUCUCCUUCAGUGCUUCCCAAACCUCUUUGGCAUGUUGCAAUUCUCUGAUGUGUAUGAUCUGUGAGUCUUCUACUGAAAGACAGAUAAUGGCCUUUGCUUGCUUAUCUUGGUUAUCCCAUUUUUCAAAAUUAGCAGCUGGGCAUGGGUCAGCAAUAACUCUGCCACAAAGCUUCCUUACCAAGGAGAUUCUAUAUUUUGAACUUCCACAGCUGAAAAUUUUGCUCGUUCAACUUGCGGAUUAUUGUAUUUGCAUACAUUCUAGCCAUUUUGUUUGCCAUUCUCUUCAGACAAUAUAUCUGCUAUUUCUUUCAUCUCCACUCAUCCUGCAAACAGUUCCUGCAUAAAUAAAGCCUUUGAACUCCAUAAACUGUAAGUCACUAUUCCAAUCUAAUUCACCUAAACAGCACGUUCUGCUAACACCAGUGUGCUAACUCCAAGUGUUUUAUAUAGAAGCACAGUUGGUAUUUCCACCUAUCCUAUAACCAUCUUGGGAGGACUGGUGCUUAUUAUUGAUUAAAGUUGGAGUCUUGACAAAUUACUUUCCCCAAUGAAUUGGAAACCAUCAGUCAGUCACUUGCCCUUGAGAAAGCUUCAUCUUUUAGUCUUUAGUUAUUAUAAGACCACUUUCGAAUGAUGUUUUAUUAAGCAUUCAUUCUGAUUUGUUCAUGACAUUGCACCAAGCAAACGUUGCCCCACACUUUCCAGUACAUUUCCCUGUGACUUUGCUUUGUGCAAAGAUUCCAGUGUUGGAGGGGAGAGAGGAGUGAGGUUGUUGCAGUAGAGCCCUUCCAUUUAAACAGCUGGCAUGGAACAGGAAUCCCAACAAACAGAAGAGGCAUCUAGCUAAUUUGGUAUUUGUGCUAGUUUGCCAUCAACUUUAUAUAGAACUUGAAAGCCUCGUUAUCACUCCAUUCACUGUCCAGAGCAAGGAGGGUUCCUCAGUUACUUUGGCGCUCUUGCGGGUGACGUCAUUGCUCUGUAUUUUUUUUUAAAAAGCCACGGACCCUUGUUCAUUCUCCUUUAUAGCAUGGCUUGUACCGUUAACAAGACGUCUGUACUAUAUCACGAUUACUGUUAAUGGUGGUGUUAAGGGCUAAGAUGGUUUUGUCGCUUAUCAGAAAUAACAGCCUAAAAUAAUUGGGUGCUAACAGUCCUUUAGCAGAUGCUUUAAAUUAGCACCUCUCCUUUGCAGGUUACUCACAUUUCCUGUUAAGGUGUUUCUCUCCUCACCCCCCCUUUUUAAAUGCCACUUUUGAUCAUGCGUUAGUUUUAUGAGGUGAAAAUUACCCACUCCAUAAACAUUUCUCUUUCAAUACAUGCUUUUGCCGCCUAAUGAAAAGCACUUAUGAGUAAGCACUCUCGUGGGUGAGAUGAGAUCUCAAGCUCUCACUAUUAUGUCGGGGAUCUUAAGAAUUCAUUAUGUGUGCAGAGGGGGAAGGAGUUCUGAGCUGAAACAACUACAGACAUUAUAAACACCCCCCCCCAAUGCAUGCUACUAUAUAAUGCUUUUAAACUGUGUGAUGCAGCAGCAAAAAAGCUAAUGGUAUUCUAGACAGCAUCAACAGAAUUCUAGUGUCCAGAUCAAGGGAAGUAAUGUUGUUGUUGUUUAGUCGUGUAUGACUCUUUGUGACCCCAUGGACCACAGCACGCCAGGCACUCCUGUCUUCCACUGCCUCCCGCAGUUUGGUCAAACUCAUGUUAGUAGCUUCGAGAGCACUGUCCCACCAUCUUGUCCUCUGUCGUCCCCUUCUCCUUGUGCCCUCCAUCUUUCCCAACAUCAGGGUCUUUUCCAGGGAGUCUUCUCUUCUCAUGAGGUGGCCAAAGUCUUGGAGCCUCAGCUUCAGGAUCUGUCCUUCCAGUGAGCACUCAGGGCUGAUUUCCUUCAGAAUGGAUAGGUUUGAUCUUCUUGCAGUCCAUGGGACUCUCAAGAGUCUGCUCCAGCACCAGAAUUCAAAAGCAUCAAUUCUUCGGCGAUCAGCCUUCUUUAUGGUCCAGCUCUCACUUCCAUACAUCACUACAGGGAAAACCAUAGCUUUAACUAUACGGACCUUUGUUGGCAAUGUGAUGUCUCUGCUUUUUAAGAUGCUGUCUAGGUUUGUCAUUGCUUUUCUCCCAAGAAGCAGGCGUCUUUUAAUUUCGUGACUGCUGUCACCAGAAGGGAAGUAAUAGUACCACUCUAUUCAGCCUUGGCCAGACCACACCUGGAAUACUGUGUCCAGUUCUGGGCACCACAGUUUAAGAAGGAUGUUAAUAAGCUGGAAGGUGUGAGGAGGAGUGCGACUGAGAUGAUAAAGGGUCUGGAAACCAAGCCUUAUGAGGAACAGUUGAAGGAGCUGGGUAUGUUUAGUCUGAAAAAGAGGAGACUGAAAGGAGAUAUGAGAGCCAUCUACUAAUAUCUAAAGUGCUGUCACAGGGAAGAUGGAGCAAGCUUAUUUUCACCUGCUCUGGAGGGUAGGACUCGAACCAAUGGCUUCAAGUUACGAGGAAGGAGAUUCCAACUAAAGAUCAGGAAGAACGUCCUGACAGAAAGAGCUGUUCAUCAUUGGAACGGACUCCCUCUGGAGGUGGUGGACUGUCCUUCAUGGGGGGGCUUUUAAGCAGAGGUUGGAUGGCCCCCUGUCCUGGAUGCUUUAGCUGAGAUUCCUGCAUUGCAGGGGGCUGGAUCAGGCAUGACCAAACUUGGCCCUCCAGCUGUUUUGGAACUACAGUUCCCAUCAUCCCUGACCACUGGUCCUGUUACUUAGGGAUGGUGGGAGUUGUAGUCCCAAAACAGCUGGAGCGCCAAGUUUGGCCAUGCCUGGACUACAUGAAUCCUGGGGUAACUUCCAAGUCUACAAUUCUACAGUGGUCAAUUCUGUGUCCAGAGCAGCUGUUUACCAGCUCCAUCUGGUACGCAGGCUGAGACCCUCCCUGCCCGCGGACUGUCUCGCCAGAGUGGUGCAUGCUCUGGUUAUCUCCCGCUUGGACUACUGCAAUGCGCUCUAUGUGGGGCAACCUUUGAAGGUGAUCCGGAAACUACAACUAAUCCAGAAUGCGGCAGCUAGACUGGGGACUGGGAGUGGCCACCGGGACCAUUUAACACCGGUCCUGAAAGUCCUACAUUGGCUCCCAGUACGUUUCCGAGCACAAUUCAAAGUGUUGGUGCUGACCUUUAAAGCCCUAAAUGGCCGAAGGUCCUGUAUACCUGAAGGAGCGUCUCCACCACCAUCGUUUAGCCCGGACACUGAGGUCCAGCGCCGAGGGCCUUCUGGCGGUUCCCUCAUUGUGAGAAGCCAAGUUACAGGGAACCAGGUGGAGGGCCUUCUCAGUGGUGGCACCCUCCCUGUGGAAAGCCCUCCCAUCAGGUGUCAAAGAAAUAAGCAGCUAUCCUAUUUUUAAAAGACAUCUGAAGGCAGCCCUGUUUAGGGAAGUAUUUAAUAUUUAAUGCUGUAUUUUUUUAAACACUUGGUUAGGAGUCACCCAGAUUGGCUGGGGAAACUCAGCCAGAUGGGUGGGGUAUAAAUAAUAAAUUAUUAUUAUUAUUAUUAUGGGAAAAUCAGUGGUUAAGGUCAAGCACACGGUGUGGAUUCAAGCAGCAAGGAGAUUGUUCAAAGCAGAGCUGACUUACUCGGACUCAGGGGAGAACUUUGUUAAUAUGGCACCCUGAGCAAGGACAAAACUUUCCCUUCCUCAGAUAUUUAUUAUAAUUUUCACAAUAAUUCAUUUUGGUCCAGUUGCUUUUUAUGGAUCUUUUCAGUAGUUACCUGUAUAGAUAUAGGUUAUCCUUAUUGUUGUAUAAAUAUAGGUGGUUGUUGUUGUUUUGUGCCCCCUCGAUUUGGUGCCUUGUGUGGGGAAGAACUGCUUACACUGCCCUAAAUCUGGACUGUCUUCAUCCCUGCGGCCAGUUUCAUAACAAGCUUGUUAGUCUUCGUUGUAAGGAAUAUUCCCUGGGCAAUUGCUAUGUAAACUGAUAGCAUCUGCUGCCUCAGUGGGUGAGGGAGAAUGAAAAGCACAUUCUCUUCUCCAUUUAGUCACUGUUCUCGUUCUGGUGUUUUUCAUUCGCCAGCGUUUAUGAAGCAUGUCGCCAUCCUAACGCUCGUCGCAAUAAAAGAUGCGCCUGAGCAUCCUAAUUGCAAGUGCUGCGUAAAAACUAAGCAGCGUUCGGGGCUUUUUGUUUUGGUUCUGUUUAGGGGGAAAGGUGCGCCUGGGCAGAACGUGACAGAGGAGUACAAAAUUAUUCAUGCCGUGGGAAAAGUGGAUAGGAAUAAUAGUAGAGCUCAGGGAGACCCAGCCGAGCUGGAUGUUGGAAAACGAAAAACAGGCAAAAGAAAGUACUCUCACCAGAGUGGUGCAUGCUCUGGUGAUCUCUCGCUUGGACUACUGCAAUGCGCUCUGUGUGGGGCUACCUUUGAAGGUGACCCGGAAACUGCAACUAAUCCAGAAUGCGGCAGCUAGACUGGUGACUGGGAGCGGCCGCCGAGACCACAUAACACCGGUCUUGAAAGACCUACACUGGCUCCCAGUAUGUUUCCAAGCAAAAUUCAAGGUGUUGGUGCUGACCUUUAAAGCCCUAAACGGCCUCGGUCCAGUAUAUCUGAAGGAGUGUCUCCACCCCCAUCAUUCUGCCCGGGCACUGAGGUCCAGCGCCGAGGGCCUUCUGGCGGUUCCCUCCAUGUGAGAAGCCAAGCUACAGGGAACCAGGCAAUGGGCCUUCUCAGUAGUGGCACCCGCCCUGUGGAACGCCCUCCCACUAGAUGUCAAAGAGAACAACAACUACCAGACUUUUAGAAGACAUCUGAAGGUAGCCCUCUUUAGGGAAGCUUUUAAUGUUUGAUGCAUUACGGUAUUUUAAUAUUUUUUUGGAAGGUGCCCAGAGUGGCUGGGGAAGCCCAGACAGAUGGGUGGAGUAUAAAUAAUGAAUUAUUAUUAUUAUUAUUAUUAUUAUUAUUAUUAUUCUGCUGGCAUCCGUCUGUCUUGAGUGUCGAUGGAGUUCUCCUCCAGGGCUGAAGUCAAACAGCUGUUUUAGCAGCACUGAAGUGACCUCCCCGGCAUGCAAGCCUAGACAGUGUACCUGGGGGUCCUGGGCUGGCCAGACAGCAAGACCCCCUCUUGACCUCGCUGAUGUGGUCCAAAGGAAAGCAGAACAAUAUUUUUGGCACCAGCUUGGCUGCAGGAGUUGCCGGAAGGAGGCAUACAAGGUGCGACCCAACCAUCUUACGGACUCCACUGCAGAUUUGUGUACGGUUUCCUCCUUGGCCCGCCCUUCUCCCAAAGAUAUCCCACAAGGCAGCGGAGGUUUAGGGUCAGGGUUUUCUUCUGCCAACCCUCGGUGUCAUUAUUUUCUUUUUUUUGGCUCCUGUCGUUGUUUAAAACCCAACCGGGACACAUUUGCCAAGCCCUGCAAAGCUGGAAGAGGUUUGUCAGUGAGAAUUUGCGAACAGCGGACAGGCAGGCAAUUGGAUUUCUCUUUUGCUUUCAACGCCUCUUUUGCGAAACCUGUUGGCUUCCCUCAGAAUUCCUACAGGCGCAUUCCUCCCAAAUUGGCUCCAGUUAUUCCUUCAGGCGAAAAGAUCCUAUUUUGAAUCAUUCUCCAUCUCUUUCUCCCCACCCCAAUAAAACAAAAAUCCCUCUGCCUUUAAUCCGUGGCUGGAGGAAAGACUAUAUACCAAGACGACUCAAGGGGAUGUAUGCGCGACGUUGUUUCAUUGGCACAAAAUACGACAGACUUAUUUCUUUUACCCUGAUAUUGGCUAUGGUUCUGAAACCCUACCAGGCCCAAGGCAGUUUACAAAGAAAAGAAAGAAAGAAAGAAAGAAAGAAAGAAAGAAAGAAAGAAAGAAAGAAAUGCAAAUUUUUUUUUAUUCCUUUUUUUCGUCCACAUAACUACGCAACUAACAAAAGAUCAUCACAACAUAUUGGUCGUCACAAGCUCCUGCAAGAAUGAAACUUUAACGGUAUUGACACAGUUCAGUAGAUCAUUCCACAAGCACAAUAGAGACUGCAGAGGUGAUCUUUCAUUGUCUUCUGUUUUUUACGUAGUCUAGAAAUGGUUGGCAACUGUUGUGAAAGGAAAAGUGAUUUGACUUCCCUUGAGCAGCUCUAAUCUGACUAGUUAAUUUUUCUGCUAAGGCAGUUUUAUUGUAUUUUUAAUAUUUUGUUGGAAGCCGCCCAGGGUGGUUGGAGAAACCCAGCCAGAUGGGUGAGGUAUUAAAAAUUAUUAUUAUUAUCCAAACUCUUAUGUCUUGUGUGUCCGAAGUAAGACCCUUGACCCUCCGCCAGGAUUGAGUGAUUUCCAUCCCAGCAGCUACAAAUGAAAACCUUAAUAGGUCUUUAUGUGUAAUCCAUCUUGGAGGUUUUUCUUCCCAUAACUCGAGCAAUGCCGGCACGGUAACAUUUGUCCUGAAAAUGAGGCUUAUUUCUCUGAAAACCAUAGUUGAAAUUUGACUACAACUCAAUCACAUACGAAAAUGAGACGUUUGAUCCACACAUACCCUCCAGCAGUUGAGAUCUACAUUAUUAUGCGACAAUCUUAAAGGCAUCCAUGAAGAAGUUUAAUUCUUUCUGGAGGUCCAUUUUUAACCUGAAACUGUUCUUAACCUGAAGCACCACUUUAGCUAAUGGGGCCUCCCGCUGCUGCCACGCAAUUUCUGUUCUCAUCCUGAAGCAAAGUUCUUAACCUGAGGUACUAUUUCUGAGUUAGCGGAGUCUGUAACCUGAAGCGUAUGUGACCCGAGGUACCACUGUACGUUUAAAGAAGAUUGGAAAAUGUUUAUUGAAUAUAUGGGGGAUAAUAGUGUACACUUGAAAACGUGGGCAGCCUUAAGAUAAAUUCAACAGUGUAAAUAAGUGUUGAUGGAUGUAAUAAUGGAAUACGGAAUGGCUUAGUUUAUAUAAAAUAUGCAGGGAUUUAUGCUGUGCAAAAUGAACCAUGGAAAGAGAAGAAGGGAAGUCAUUGAUAUUUUAAGGUUUUUUAUAUGAAUCCAGUGGUACCUUGGUUCUCAAACAACUUGGAACCCAAACACUGCAACCCCGGAAGUAAGUGUUACGGUUUGCAAACUUUUUUCAGGAGCCGAAUGUGCUCUUUUUUGAGUGUUACGCUGAGAUCUGUCUGUUUUUGCUAUUUAUUUUGCAUUUUUGUUUUUGCGGCUCUUGUUUUUGUGACUGUGUGGAACCCAGUUCAGCUUCUGAUGGAUUGAUUGUGUGACUGCAGUACAUUGUCUAUUGCUUUCAUUUCAUGGAUCGAUGGUCUCGUUAGAGAGUAAAAUUCAUGUUCAAUUGCUGUUCUAGGGGUUGUUUUUAAAAGUCUGGAACGGAUUAAUCCGUUUUGCAUGACUUUCUAUGGGAAAAUGCGCCUUGGUUUUGGAACGCUUUGGUUUUGGAACGGACUUCUGGAACAGAUUAAGUCUCAGAACCAAGGUGCCACUGUAUUCUAAACUGUAAAACAGAAAAUUUAAUAAUAAUUAUAUAAAAAAAUAAAGAAAUUAAACUGCAGCUCUUGGGCACGAUAUCACCCAGGACAUGAAUGCAGUCUCCUCUGAUAUCCGAACUUUCCGCUAUCCAGCUCCCCUUGUUGGUGGGAAAUCUUAAAUGCGAGGAAAGGAAUGAGCUUUUUCUUUCGGCUUUCCCUUGGGGAAUGAGGCACCUUGUGUCGCAAUGCUUUGGCGCCUAAUGGAGUUGUUUUCGUCUAAGAAGGCUUUCCCCGAGGUCCUCGUCCUCGGUGUAACAUUAAUUGCACAUUUGUAGGAACAGUUUUAUUUAUUUUUAGAACUUUUGGGGAGGCAGUUUAAUAUCUCAUUUUUUAUUGCCGUACACAGCUUUGAGGACUUCAAGGCUGCGAAGCGGUUUAUAAAUGUGUAGUAUAAGUAAGACAAAUAAAUAAAUUUCCAAAGUGGCGCUUGGGAAGCAGGAUGCUUUUGCCCAGGUUCAUCAAUGCAUAGCUGUCAACUUACAGUUUGAAAAUAAGGGACCAGCAGCCUCAAAAAUAAGGGACCAGCAGCCAAAAUAAGGGAUUUUAGUCAACCAGCUGAAAUACAAAGUUAAAAGGGACCAGAUAAUUUGGGAGAGCAGUGCCGGUUUUUAGCCCUUCGUUUCCAGAGGUUGCUGCUCAAAACACCAGCUGAUGAAACACUGCAAUUAAAUAACUACAAGCAGCAACCACUUUUUGCACAAAACAAAGCCCAAGCUACGAAGAUGCUGCUGCAGUUCUGUAUCUUUUCUCUCGUGCUCCAUCUGCAGCUCUCAGUUCCAUCAGGCGGGGCGGGAGGAGGGGGGGGGAAAUAGCGCCCAAAGUAAACCCGCAGAUCAGACCCUCUAUGCUAGUUUACCACUACAAAUCUAUGGGAGAAGCGCAUGCGGUCCUUCCUCCGCUUUCCCCCUCAAUGGUUAGCCCUUGGAACACCUGCCCACGCCUCCUCUCUCUGAACUGCUUUCUCUAUGGUUGCCCUCGGUCUCCUCUCAAGGCUCCUCAGUCCCAGCGGGGAGGGGAUCCCGGGGGCCGAGGCUGGUGAGAGGAGGCCGGAGGGGGCCGGGCCGGGCAGCCAAGCAACACAGUUGGAGCCUCCCUCCUCCCUGGCCGGCAGGGAGGGAGGGAGAGGAGCUGCUUCCUUUGAAACCCGGGAAAUUUAAGGGACAUCAUAAAUAACGGACAGCAGCGGAACACGGCGCUGGGAUAAGGGAGUUUCCCACCAAAUAGGUGACGGCUGACAGCUAUGCAUCAAUGGUUCAUCAGGUUUCAGCAACAGAUACUUGGGUUCCGUACAAAGUAGGGGAAGGAAAACCCCCAAACCCUCAAAGAAACAGUAAUUUUUUUGUUAAGAAAUGUAAAAGGGAUUAGGGCAAAAUUAAUACCAAUACCACAUAACAAUUAUAUUAAAGUUGCUUAAGAAUUUCCAUUUGUUGGAAUACAGACUUUGCAAUACAGACUUUUGAGGUGUUUUAAUUAGACCCUUAGAUUAGUCAGCUAGCUGGAUUUAUUGGAUCAGAAACCUGCAAAUAAACUGACAAGGUGUAUCUAUUUAAUUGGGCCAUGUGUGUUUUUAAAACCGAAAGACAUUUUUAAUAUCAGUACUUAGAAACGCCGCAGAUGUCUGGCACCAUCUAAGAAAAGUCAUUUUGCUUCUCUCUCGCAAAGCAGAGUUUUAAAGGAAGCAGAACUGCUUGCCCAACCCAUAGUAGUUUUUUUUUUGUUUUUUUAAUGACCAACCAAUUUAAUGGAUAUAUUAAAUUCGUGUCUGAACCAAUUAAGACCAAAGCCAUUAAUUGGCAAGAUGCAUUAAUUGGCACAUGCAUUAACUGUUCUAACAAAUUAAUCACAAAUGUGCAGAGUCCCCUUCACUCACCCAAUGAAACUGUCACUGAGAAUGCCUGUUUAGACAUCUUCCAGUCUCUCUCUCUCUCUCUCUCUCUCUCUCUCUCUCUCUCUCUCUCUCGAUGGCACGCAGUGUGUUUAAAAUGACUCUUAUUAUUUUGUGGUGAUGUUCUUUUGCUGACUCCCCCCUCCUCCAUAUUUUCUGGGCAUGCACGGUUACAAAUCAGUUUUGGGGAAAAGGUACUGUUUUUGGGGGACAGGGGGCGGGUGGGUGUGGAGGACUCCCUGGUCCUGAAUGGGGCAACUGUGUCCCUGAAGGACCAGGUGAGCAGCCUGGGAGUCAUUCUGGACUCACAGCUGUCCAUGGAGGUGCAGGUCAAUUCUGUAUCCAGGGCAGAUGUCUACCAACUCCAUCUGAUACGCAGGAUGAGACCCUACCUGCCCGCGGACUGUCUCACCAGAGUAGUGCAUGCUCUGGUUAUCUCUCGCUUGGACUACUGCAAUGUGCUCUACGUGGGGCUACCUUUGAAGGUGACCCGGAAACUACAACUAAUCCAGAAUGCAGCAGCUAGAUUGGUGACUGGGAACGGCUGCCGAGACCAUAUAACACUGGUCUUGAAAGACCUAAAUUGGCUCCCAGUACGUUUCAAAGCACAAUUCAGAGUGUUGGUGCUGACCUUGAAAGCCCAAAACAGCCUCAGCCCAGUAUAACUGAAGGAGCGUCUCCACCCCCAUUGCUCAGCCCGGACACUGAGGUCCAGCGCUGAGGGCAUAGCUGCCAACUUUUCCCUUUUCUUGUGAGGAAUCCUAUUCGGAACAAGGGAAUUUCCCUUAAAAAAAUGGAAACGUUGACAGCUAUGGCUGAGGGCCUUCUGGCGGUUCCCUCGCUGUGAGAAAUGAGGUUACAGGGAACCAGGCAGAGGGCCUUCUUGGUAGUGGCGCCUGCCCUGUGGAACAUCCUCCCAUCAGAUGUCAAGGAAAUAAACAACUACCUGAAUUUUGGAAGACAUCUGAAGGCAGGCAGCCCUAGAAUCAUAGAAUCAUAGAGUUGGAAGAGACCACAAGGGCCAUCGAGUCCAACCCCCUGCCAAGCAGGAAACACCAUCAGAGCAAUCCUGACAUAUGGUUGUCAAGCCUCUGCUUAAAGACCUCCAAAGAAGGAGACUCCACCACACUCCUUGGCAGCAAAUUCCACUGUCAAACAGCUCUUACUGUCAGGAAGUUCUUCCUAAUGUUUAGGUGGAAUCUUCUUUCUUGUAGUUUGGAUCCAUUGCUCCGUGUCCGCUUCUCUGGAGCAGCAGAAAACAACCUUUCUCCCUCCUCUAUGUGACAUCCUUUGAUAUAUUUGAACAUGGCUAUCAUAUCACCCCUUAACCUCCUCUUCUCCAGGCUAAACAUGCCCAGCUCCCUUAGCCGUUCCUCCUAAGGCAUCGUUUCCAGGCCUUUGACCAUUUUGGUUGCCCUCCUCUGGACACGUUCCAGUUUGUCAGUGUCCUUCUUGAAUUGUGGUGCCCAGAACUGGACACAGUACUCCAGGUGAGGUCUGACCAGAGCAGAAUACAGUGGCACUAUUACUUCCCUUGAUCUAGAUGCUAUACUCCUAUUGAUGCAGCCCAGAAUUGCAUUGGCUUUUUUAGCUGCCGCGUCACACUGUUGGCUCAUGUCAAGUUUGUGGUCAACCAAGACUCCUAGAUCCUUUUCACAUGUACUGCUCUCAAGCCAGGUGUCACCUAUCUUGUAUUUGUGCCUUUCAUUUUUUUUGCCCAAGUGCAAUACUUUACAUUUCUCCCUGUUAAAAUUCAUCUUGUUUGUUUUGGCCCAGUUCUCUAAUCGGUCAAGGUCAUUUUGAAGUGUGAUCCUGUCCUCUGGGCUGUUAGCCACCCCUGCCAGUUUGGUGUCAUCUGCAAAUUUGAUCAGGAUGCCCUUGAGUCCAUCAUCCAAGUCGUUGAUAAAGAUGUUGAAUAAGACCGGGCCCAAGACAGAACCCUGUGGCACCCCACUAGUCACUAUUCUCCAGGAUGAAGAGGAACCAUUGAUGAGCACCCUUUGGGUUCGGUCAGUCAGCCAGUUACAAAUCCACUGAGUGGUAGCAUAGUCAAGACCGCAUUUUACCAGCUUCUUUACAAGAAUAUCAUGGGGCACCUUGUCAAAUGCCUUGCUGAAAUCAAGGUAGGCUACAUCCACUGCGUUCCCUUCAUCUACCAGGCUUGUAAUUCUGUCAAAAACGAGAUCAGGUUAGUCUGACAUGACUUAUUUUUCAGAAAUCCAUGCUGACUAUUGGUGAUCACAGCAUUCCUUUCUAGGUGCUCACAGACUGUUUGCUUAAUGAUCUGCUCCAGAAUCUUCCCUGGUAUUGAUUUCAGACUGACUGGGUGGUAAUUAUUUGGGUCCUCUCUUUUCCCCUUUUUGAAAAUAGGGACAACAUUUGCCCUCCUCCAGUCUGCCGGGACUUCGCCUGUUCUCCAGGAAUUCUCAAAGAUGACUGCCAGUGGUUCUGAGAUCACAUCUGCCAGUUCUUUUAAUACUCUUGGAUGCAGUUCAUCUGGCCCUGGAGACUUGAAUACAUCUAAACUAGCCAAGUAUUCUUGUACUAUCUCCUUAGUUACUCUGGGCUGUGUUUCCUUUGCUGAAUCAUUUGCUCCAAAUUCUUCAGGUCGGGCAUUGUUUUCUUUAUCGGAGAAGACUGAGGCAAGGAAGGCAUUGAGGAGUUCAGCUCUUUCUGUGUCCCCUGUUUGCAUUUCACCAUCUUCUCCUCUGAGUGACCCCACUGUUUCUUUGUUCUUCCUUUUGCUACGAACAUACCCAUAAAAGCCUUUUUGUUGCUUUUAACCUCUCUAGCAAGCCUGAGUUCAUUCUGUGCUUUAGCUUUUCUGACUUUGUGUCUACACGUGCUGGCUAUUUGUUUGAAUUCCUCUUUGGUGGUUUCCCCCUUUUCCAUUUUUGUACACAUCCUUUUUAAAUCUUAACUCAGUUAAAAGUUCUUUAGAUAGCCACCCUGGCUUCUUUAGGCACCUUCCAUGUUUCCGUCUCAUUGGUAUUGCCUGACGUUGUGCUUUUACUAUCUCCUUCUUAACAAACUCCGAGCCAUCAUGAACUCCCUUUCCUUUUAGUAUUACUGUCCAUGGGAUCUCACCCAGCACUUCCCUAAGUUUUAUGAAGUCGGCUUUCUUAAAGUCAAGAAAUUGAGUCCUAGUAUGCUUGGCUGCUCCUUUCCGCUGUAUAGUAAACUUCAGAAGAGCAUGAUCACUCACGCCUAAUGAUCCUUCCACUUCUACCCCACUAACCAGGUCAUCAACAUUGGUUAGGACCAGCUCUAAAAUGGCUGUUCCUCUUGUUGCUUCUCCCACUUUCUGGACAAUGAAGUUGUCUGCAAGGCCAGUGAGGAAUCUGUUUGACCUUAUGCUCUUGGCUGAGUUUGACAUCCAACAAAUAUCCGGGUAAUUGAAGUCCCCCAUUACUACUAUCUCCCUUCCUUUUGCAUACUUGGCCAUCUGUUCCAGGAAGGCAUCAUCUAUGUCCUCCAUUUGGCUUGGGAAUCUAUAGUAAACUCCCACAAUGAGGUCACUGUUAUUCUUCUCUCCCUUAAUUUUGACCCAAAUGCUCUCACUUUGGCUUUGAGGUUCUAAAUCUUGGAUCUCUUCACAGGUAUACACAUCCCUGACAUAUAACGCCACUCCUCCUCCUUUCUUGUCUGGUCUGUUUCUCUGAAAUAGAUUAUAUCCCUCCAUUAUUACAUUCUAAUCGUGGGACUUAUCCCACCAGGUUUCAGUGAUGCCUAUUAUGUCAUAUUUAGUUUGCUGUACCAAGAGCUCAAGCUCAUCUUGUUUAUUUCCCAUGCUUUGUGCAUUAGUGUACAGACAUUGAAGUCCAUUAAUCAUUUCCCCGUGUCUCUUAUUUAAGGAUUUUUUCCUCCCACCACUAGGUCUGCGUGCUGUUUGCUCCAUUUGGUCUAUGACAUUUGGAUGAUCAUCUUCAUCAAUUGAUAGACUCCUACCUUCAGGAGCACUGUCUCCCUCCCCACAUUAGUCAGUUUAAAGCCCUCCUGAUGAGGUUUCUGAGAUUUUUGGCAAAAACAUUUCUCCCAACCGUUGUGAGGUGCAGCCCAUCGCUUGCCAGAAGUCCAUCUUCAAGAAACUGCAGUCCGUGAUCUAAGAAUCCAAACCGUUCCUGUUUACACCAUUUGCGAAGCCAGCUGUUCACUUCCACUAUUUUUCCCUCUCUCCCUGGGCCACGUCGUUCAACUGGGAGGACAGAUGAGAUGACAAUUUGUGCAUUUAAUUGCUUCAAUUUCCUGCCGAGAGCCUCGUAGUCUCUUUUGAUCUUCUGGAGGCUAUUGCUUGCAGUGUCAUUGGUUCCCACAUGAACCAAGAGGAAGGGGUAUUUGUCAGUGGGUUUUAUGAUUCCUUGCAGUCGUUCAGUUACAUCUUGGAUCUUAGCCCCGGGAGACAGCACACUUCCCGAGACAUCUUGUCAGGCCCACAGAUCACUGCUUCUGUUCCCCUCAGUAGGGAAUCCCCUAUCACCACUACACGCCUCCUCUUAGGUUUGGUCGGGGUUCUUCCGUGAGCUGUCCGUUCCAAGGUCGCCUGCACAUUCCCUGAGGACUGACUUUGCUGCUCGUCUUCAUAUACCUGAUCGACUGUAAUGAGGAGAGAUCCUCAAAUGGAGUCUGCUCUUUGUCUUCCAUGCUAGGGGAGAGGACCUCAAAGCGAUUGUGUAUUUCUAAACAAUCAGAGCGAACCCUGGGCCUCCUACUUCUUUGAGUCACGUUUCUCCAUAUAUCUGGCUCCUGUGUUGGUGAACUAGCCGCCUUCUCAGGGGAGUCCCCUGUCUCCUCCUUGGUGGAGACGGUGUGCUCUGUUGCUUCCAAGAAGAGCUCCAGCUCUCUAAUUCUUUGGAGCGUAGCUACACGUUCCUCCAGUUGGUGGACUUUGUCUUUUAAGAGGGCAAUCAACAUGCAAUUGCUGCAGGUAAAGCUGCCUGCAACCUUUGGCAAGAUGGCAAACAUUGCGCAGGAACCGCAGGCGACUGCAGCUGUUCCCUCCCCUCCAUCUUGAGAACGUGUCGUUGGGGGUGGCUACAGCGGUCCUCCAUCAUAAAAAGCGUGAAGACAGGACAAAUAACUCCCCCCACAAAAAAACCUAGGUCUCCCCCAACAAACGUUUGAGAGUAGCUCCCCUAAAUCUAAAAGAUGGAUCAAACAGAAACCCUGCCCCCUCUGACCUUUGCACAGGGAGAGCAGCUAAUCAGCCACAAAGAAACACACACGCACAAGAAAACCCUUUUUGCUCCUUUUUCAACUGCUGCCCUGCAAGCUCUGAUAAGCUCCUCCCACAGCUAAUCACCUGCCUCAACAGAAACCCUGCCCCCUCUGACCCUGUUUAGGGAAGUUUUUAAUGUUUAAUGCUGUAUUGUGUUUUUAAUAUUCUGUUGGGCUUAGGAAACUCAGCCAGAUGGGUGGGGUCGUUUAGGGCUUUAAAGGUCAGUAGUUUGUGUGAAAGGGAUCUAGGGGUCUUGCUGGACCACAAGUUGAACACGAGUCAACAGGGUGAUGCAGCAGCAAAAAAAGCAGAUGCGAUUCUAGGCUGCAUCAACAGAAGUCUAGUGUCCAGAUCAAGGGAAAUCAUAGUACUGCUCUAUUCUGCCUUGGUUAGACCACACUUGGAAUACUGUGUCCAAUUCUGGGCACCACAAUUUAUGAAGGAUGCUGACAAGCUGGAAUGUGUGCAGUGGAAGGUGACCAAGAUGAUCAAGGGUCUGGAAAUACAGGCUUAUGAGGAACAGUUGAAGUGCUGGGUAUGUUUAGCCUGGAAAAAUGGAGACUGAGAGGAGAUAUGUGAGCCAUCAUCUAAUAUCUUAAGGGCUGUCACCAGGAAGAGAGAACAAGCUUGUUUUCUCCUGCUCUGGAGGGUAGGACUCGAACCAAUGGCUUCAUGUUGCAAGAAAGGAGAUUCCAACUAAACAUCAGGAAAAACUUAUGACAGUAAGAGCCGUUUGACAGCGGAACCGUCUCAAAUGAAACGUGGUGGACUUUUCUUCCUUGGAGGUUUUUAAGCAGAGGUUGGAUGGCCAUCAGUCAUGGAUGCUGUAGCUGAGAUUCCUGCGUUGCGGGGGGUUGGACUAGAUGACCCCUGGGGUCCCAACUCUACAAUUCUACGAUUCCAUNNNNNNNNNNNNNNNNNNNNNNNNNNNNNNNNNNNNNNNNNNNNNNNNNNNNNNNNNNNNNNNNNNNNNNNNNNNNNNNNNNNNNNNNNNNNNNNNNNNNGAGAGCUAUAUGUUUUCAUUGCAAACUGGUGAGGAAAUGUGAAGACCUGAAAUUAAGAAGAGAAAGAUGAGGAACUGAGACGGACCAGAACGGACGUAUUAUUUGCCCACCCCCGACUACAGCUCCCAUCAGCACCAGCCAAUCUGGCCAACGGUGAGGGAUGAUGGUUUGUUGUGGUUCUGCAACGUUUGGAGAGACGCAGAUUCCCUGCUCCUGACAUAGGCUAAUUCAGUUUUAACUGUUUCCAAGUUGGAAUUUUAAAUUAAUGUAACCCACCCUGGAGCCUGCUGGUGAAGGGCUAGUAAAUAAUAAUAAUAAUAAUAAUAAUAAUAAUAAUCGUUCCCAGAGAGGACAUUGGACCCAUCCUUCUUUAAGGGCCAGUUUCAUUUUAAAAACCAAGCCGACAGAAGUUAAAGUCCAAUGUAAGUAAUCAGGAAAAAGAAAAAUGAGCUUUUCAGUUGACCCAGACACAUUUCUAACACACACGGCUAAGAUUUCCUAUAACAAAAUAUGUGUGUGCAUUUGUCUCUCUUACAGUUCUCAAGAACUAGUGUGGCUUGAUAUCUUGGCUGCCGUGGGUAGUUUCUGGCGAGGAACAUCCUGCAUGCCAGUGAAAACUGACUUGGCAACACUAAUACAAAACAAAAAGUGCAGCAGCCAGAAAAAGGAAUGCAUUCCUUACCCAGAUUAAAAUUCCAAGUAAUUCCUGGGUUUCCUGGUUGCGUUGGGCAAGGUGUGCUUACAGCCUCCUUCUGGAAACACCCAAAGCUCACAAUGCUCUUUGCUAACAGAACUGUUCUUAGGAGGAAGAAAAAAUAAUAUUUAUUGGAAGCAAUCCAGCAAGUUAGAAAGUGGCUGCAGUUGUGGCAUGCUGGGAGACAGAGGACAGAAGUAAAGACUGUGUGGCAUUAUUAUUUUGAGUUGAGGGAGGGGGUGCAGAGAAUAACUGUCAUAAAGGUAAAGGGACCCCUGACCAUUAGGUCCAGUCGUGACCGACUCUGGGGUUGCGGCGCUCAUCUCGCUUUAUUGGCCGAGGAAGCCAGUGUACAGCUUCCGGGUCAUGUGGCCAGCAUGACUAAGCCACUUCUAGCGAACAAGAGCAGCACACGGAAAUGCCGUUUACCUUCCCACCGGAGUGGUACCUAUUUAUCUACUUGCACUUUGACGUGCUUUUGAACUGCUAGGUUGGCAGGAGCAGGGACCGAGCAACGGGAGCUCACCCCGUCACGGGGAUUUGAACCGCCAACCUUCUGAUUGGCAAGUCCUAGGCUCUGUGGUUUAACCCACAGCGCCACCCGCAUCCCUGUAGAUUAGGUAGGUUUGCCUUUAAAUGCAAAUGGAAUUGAAUUUCAACCCCCCCUUGCUUCUAAUCCCACAAUUGUCAGAAGUUGGCUAAUGCUGAUGUUAGUUGGACCUCAGCUAUGCACCCCCUAGCUUAUGCAAACCAAAACUGGGCCUUUCUAGAAAGUUCUGGCUCCCUUCUGCCCAUGAGCAGUCGUGUUCCGUUCUUGGGGCUGGGAUUGAGGAGGAAUCUGCUCUUUCAGACACAUUUCCAUUCUUUCUGCAAAGAACAUGCAAAGAGAAGAACAUCACUUUCUCUUUCUGUCUGUCUCUCCGAGUUUGGGUGCAAUUUUGGGUUUUCGUUGAAUCAAGUGUCCCCAAGUGUCCAGCACCCUGCAAUGCAGAGAUCGCCAUCAUUUCUCGACAACUGGGAUAGCUCUGUUGGUAGUGCAGGACACUCUUGUCAUCAGGGUUGCGGGUUUGAGCCCCACUGUGCUGGGCGUGGGGGUAACCUGUGAAACGCGGUCCAGGACCGGUCCAGAAUCCGAAGGUUCUGCUGGGAGUCAGUCUGACAGGGCCAAGGCAGGAAACCAGGCAAGGACAGGUACAGGAUCCGGCAUACAGCAAUGUUGCUCCCGCAACCUGGGGUGGGGUCCGACAGCCUUUUAUCUUUGUCGGGGUAAUGGCCGGUCCUGAUCCCCCGGCGACUCACCUCCCUGUUUUGCCUGAAGACGAGCACUCCUCCUGCAAGUACUCAGGUCUCUCCUUCUCUCAGACCUGAGUCUCUGCAGCUCAGGAGACGUCGGUGGGCUAUCAGACCCAGAGGCCGCCUCAGCCUCCCCUUACCCAACCGGUAGUGGAGCAGCUGUAAGUGAUGGCCCAGCUGAAGGCAACGAGGUAAUCCCCGCAUCUGGAGCCAGGGCAGGCUCAGGCCCCUGACUCGGCCCAGCUGGUGCUUGUUGCAGGGGAACCUGUGCAGACUGGGACUCUUCAGGAUCAGGCCCCAGACUUGGUUCAGAUGAAGCCUGAGGCAAAGGAUCUGGUGCAGACUGAGACUCCUCUGGCUCCGAGUCCGAGUCCCAGGCCAUCACACCCACAGUGGGCAAAAAUAUUCUUGGGCUAGAUCAUCCUUGGGGUCCCUUCGAACUCUACAGUUCUGCGAUUCUGAUCUCUGUCAUUUCCCACAGACGCAGGGAAAUGCAGGAAGCAGGCAAGGCUGGACAAAUGUUUCUGGACCACGGACAGCUCCGAAUGAGCAAAGAGCUCUGAUAAAAGUUGGGAGUUGACUGAGACAGAGGCAUAACGCUCCAGAGACCGCCUCUUCCAGGCUGCAACUCCUUGUUAGAGAGCUUCAGACUCUGAAAAGGUCUAGUCUCUGAACUGAAGACUCUUUCUUCGUUCUAUAGCCUCCCUGCUUGCACAGGGCAGACACCAGGAAAUCUAGGGGCGGGGGGAAUCUAGAUCUGACCGAUGGAUGGCAUGAUCAGAGUAUCCUUGGAUUAUAUUUGGCCAAGAAUCCUGCUCUCCCCGAAAUGGAAAGAAGCAGAAGUCCCAGCAAAGGAAGAAUGGAUGCAAAAACUUACGGGAUACGCAGAAAUGGCAAAACUCACCGGAAGAUAAGAAAGCAAGUUAACAAACUUAAAAAAAACCAAAAAACGGAAUGGAAAUGGUUUAUCAAAUACUUACAGAUGAAUUGCAAACAGGUAAAAACAUUGGGAGGAUUAUCGUAAUAACCCACGGUUUCGUAAGAGUUUAUAUUUAGGUAAUUAAAUGAGCAAAUUAAAUGAAUUUGGAUAUGCAGAAGAUUUUAAAAAACAAGGAACUGCAGAAAAAGGGGGAAGGAAGUCAAACUUUGAAACGUUAAAAUAAUUGUGAAAUUAAUGAUAGGUAUAAAUUUGGAAAGUGUAAUAAAAACUAAAAAAUAUAUAUCUUUGCCCAUAUUUCAUAGAAGGGACCCCGAGAGUCAUCUAGUCCACCCCCUUGCAAUGCAAGAAUAUCAGCAAAAGCAUCCAACCUCUGCUUAAAAUACCAAGAUCUCAUUAAAUCUACACAUCAUUCCCUUGGAGUUCAUAAAGAUGACAAGUAGGAAGAGAACAGGGCUUUGAUGGAUUUGCGUCUCCUACUUUUCUGGCUGUUAACUAAAGGAUGAGAGACUGCGGCUGUUAUUUGCGCGACUACAGAGAAGGAGAAUGUAGACAUUAAUGAGCAAUAUAACUAGUGAUAAACACCUCUGGGAAGAGAGAAAUGCCUCAUUAAGGACUUCUUUUUUUGGCGGGGGGGGUUUGCAAAUGGGCUUUAUUGGUACAUUGGUACAUUGGCCUAACAAAAUUAAUACUUGUGGAUAUUUCGGCAUACUAGGGCAAAUAAAUAAAUGAAUCACAAAAUGGUGGGCAAGCUUUUGAAGAAGCCACCCUCCUAGCGGCACAGCAUUAAAACUGCAGGCACAUUUUCAAAGCUAAGCAGGGUCCGUGUCAGGAGUGCGUGCAGGAGCCAGGCCCUGUGACCAGUAGGCCUUCGCAGGACAGGGGCCUUCCUAAGUUUGUUCUGGAGAGGCAAGGCGUGGUCGCACAGGUGAAGCCGAUUAGUAACUCACUGCACCUGGUGGCAAGAGCUGGGAAGGGAUAUAAGGUCAGCAUUUCCCUUCGGCUCUUUAUCACAGCAACACGUUUCCUGCCUUGCUGUGUUUGGCUUCUUGUUUCUCGGCCCUCGGACCCUUGACUUUGUGACUCCUUGCUUCUAACCCUCAGACCUCGACUUCUUGACUCCUUGCUUCUCAACCCUCGGACCCUUGACUCCGUGACUCCUUGCGUCUCGACCCUCGGACCCUUGACUUUGUGACUCCUUGCUUCUCGACCCUCGGACUGUUGACUUCGUGACUCCUUGCUUCUCGACCCUCAGACCUCGACUUCUUGACUCCUUGCUUCUUGACCCUUGGAUCCUUGACUUUGUGACUCCUUGCUUCUCGACCCUCGGACCCUUGACUUUGUGACUCUCUGCUUCCUGACCCUCAGACCCCUGGCUUCUGGACUCUCAUUCCUGCUCCCACCCUGCCAUCUUGCUCCCGGUCCCGACGACGUCCUCAGCUGGGACUUCGAUCGCCCGUAGACCAGACCGUGACAGUCCGGUCCGGUUUCAGAUUGGAUGGGGGACCACGCGUUGAGAUUCCUGCAUGGCGGGGGGUUGGACUGGAUGACCCUCAGGGUCCCUUCCAGUUCUGUGAUGCUAUGCCAGGGGUGGGUGAGGUCAGAGACAAAAGGGGGUGGAUCAAGGAAUGCAAUACUUACCUUUGUACAAGAGGAGGCUGGUUUUGACUAACACAGCCCUCUCCAUUCUAUGCCCAGGCCAGCAAGAGACAUUAUCUGUUUGACACAACAACAUUCAGGGGGACUGUAUAAAAAAAAAAAAAAGCCAGCGAAGGGUGUGUCUGGGAAGGGGGGGCAGCCUGGGGGUGGUCCCAGGGCCAGAGAGAAAGAGAGAGAGACAGGUUUGGGGGUCCACAUUUGCCCUCCAGGCCGGAGGACCAAGUACGUUCUAGGCUUGGAUAUCUUUCAGAGUCAUCUAAGGUUCUACAGCCUUGGGAGUUUUAAAAAUGUUCUUGUCAACAUCGUGACAACAAAUACAGCAGGCUUAGGAGAGAAAAAACAAAAAACCCCAGGAAUUCACAAUCUGCUUUGGAGAGGCAAUGUGUGCUUUGGAGAGACAGUGUGCAAUAAAUGCAUACUGUCUCGCGCUUCCACUUAAUAAAUCACUAUUCACUUCGUUGUCCUUGUGUGCUGGAUUUUGUGAGCAGCGUCGAAGUGUAUAAUUGUUAUCGCCUAGCAACUUCAAUCCCACCCUCGAGCUACUGCCCCAUUCAGCGAAGGGCUCUUUAUUUUAAUUGUAAUUCGCAUCAAUUUGUUUCAUGUUAAGGCAGGUCAGUGAUUUCUGCCCCCCCCCUGCUGCCGAAAUAGCUUGGUGCCGUUUAAUCUUCAGAUGUUAAAUUGAUUUCACCUCUGUAACGCAGGAAUCUUCUGCCCAACAUGGGAUUCGAACCCACAAUCCUGAGAUGAAGAAGUUUCAUUCUCUACCUUGAAAUGCAAACAUUUUAUUUACUACUUUGCUGAAUUUGUAUACGACGCUUCAUCUGAAGAUCAGAUAAAAAGUGCAAAACAAAAACACAAAAAUACAGAAUGAAAUGAAAGCAAAACAAACCAUUAACACGCACACCCCGGCACAUUUAAAAAGCCAUAGACACCGAACGGCUGGUUGAAGAGAAAUGCUUUUGCCUGGCGCCUAAAAAUAUGCAAUUAAAAAUGGCGUCUUCCUUUAGGCUAUUUUUGUUGGGAUCAUGGCAAGGAGGGAGAGAUUUUUUAAAUUUCAUUUUAAAUACUCGCUGCCUGUUGUGGUGCCAAGAUUGUUCAGGGCUCUUGGGUACCAGUUACAUUAAAUGAGGAAUGUGCGCAUUAAUUCCAUUCGAGCAACUAGCCUCAAAUCUACUUUGACCCCUAAACAUGUGGGGUUAUUUCCUCCCGCCGCUCCCCAGACAUCAGUAGGGCACUGGCUUCCUUGCCCAAGUCUUCAGGAUGGGGCGAGGCACAAGGAAGACUAAAUAGCGUCGGCGCAUAGUAACAACUUUCAGGUUUGCUAAUGACUGUUGCAAGAACUCGUCGCAUAAGCACCUGACGAUACUAUUCAAAAGACGCCCAUUUUAAUAAAUGGGGGCAGCGAGUUUGUCAUUGCAGUCCAGGGCGUUCUCUUCUGCUGCAAGUCAGACACACCUUGUUUCGAUGAUCACUGAGCACAGUUGUGCCAAGGUCUUGCACAGCUGCCUUCAGGUAUCAUGUUUCGAAGUGUGUUCUAGUGCAUGUGCGUUUGAUGGUUAUCGUGAUGCGCUGGGUGUCUUUGAGGACCCGCUGCAAGAGCUGUAGCUGUGAAAGGAUGCUGACAAGCUGGAAGGUGUGCAGAGGAGGGCAACCAAGAUGAUUAAGGGUCUGGGAACCAAGCCUGAUGAGGAACGGUUGAAGGAGCUGGGUUUGUUUAGCUUGAAAAAGUGGAGACUGAGAACCAUGUUCAAGUAUCUCAGGGGCUGUCACAUGGAAGAGGGAACAAGCUUUUUUUACUCCCGAUCUGGGGGGGGUAGUACUCAAACCAAUAGCUUAAAGGUACAAGGAAGGGAUGUGGGUGGCGCUGUGGGUUAAACCAUAGAGCCUAGGACUUGCUGAUCAGAAGGUCAGCGGUUUGAAUCCCCGCGACGGGGUGAGCUCCCGUUGCUCGGUCCCAACUCCUGCCAACCUAGCAGUUCGAAAGCAUGUCAAAGUGCAAGUAGAUAAAUAGGUACUGCUCCGGCGGGAAGAUAAACGGCAUUUCUGUGCACUGCUCUGGUUCGCCAGAAGCGCUUUGGUCAUGCUGGCCACAUGACCCGGAAGCUGUAUGCCGGCGCCCUUGGCCAAUAAAGCGAGAUGAGUGCCGCAACCCCAGAAUCGGUCAUGACUGGACCUAAUGGUCAGGGGUCCCUUUACCUUUACCUUACAAGGAAGGACUAAACAGCUCAGGACCGCAAUACCUCAAGGACCGCCUCUUUCCAUAUGAACCUACCCAGACCCUGAGAUACCUUCUGAGGCCCUUUUUUGAGUGCCUCCUCCUCAAGAGGUCAGGAGGGUGGCAAGACGAGAACAGGGCCUUCUCUGCAGUGGCUCCCCGUCUGUGGAAUGCUCUCCCUAGGGAAGUUCGCCUGGCGCCUUCAUUAUAUACCUUUAGGCGCCAGGCAAAAACGUUCCUUUUUAACCAGGCCUUUGGUUGAUCAGUUUGACAUCUGAUGCCCUUUUAAAAUGUGGCUCUUUUCUGGGCUGUGUGUGUUAUUAGGUUGUUGUUUUUAUUCUGUUUAUAUAUGUUGUCAUCUUUUCUGUGAACUGCCCUGAGACCUCAGGGUAUGGGGCGGUAUAUAAACUCAAUAAAUAAUAAUAAUAAACGUCAGGAAGAACUUUCUGACGGUAGGAGCUGUUGGAUAGUGGAACAGACUCCCUUGGGAAAUGGUGGACUCUUCUUCGUUGGAGGUUUCUAAGCAGAGGUUGGCUGGCCAUCUCUCAUGGCUGAUCUAGCUGAGAUUCCUGCAUCGCAAGGGGUUGGACUAGAGGACGCUUGGAGUCCUUUUUCCUUUAGUAAAUCCUUAUAUAUAGCCCAAUUUUGUUCCAUGUUUUUCUUUUUUAUCAUUAUCGCUUCUAAAGGUGAAAUCCACCAGCGUGUCUUAAGGUAAAGGGACCCCUGACCAUUAGGUCCAGUCGUGGCCGACUCUGGGGUUGCGGCUCUCAUCUCUCUUUACUGGCCGAGGGAGCCGGCGUACAGCUUCCGGGUCAUGUGGCUAGCAUGACUAAGCCACUUCUGGCGAACCAGAGCAGCACAUGGAAACGCCAUUUACCUUCCCGCCGUAGCAGUACCUAUUUAUCUACUUGCACUUUGAUGUGCUUUCGAACUGCUAGGUUGGCAGGAGCAGGGACCGAGCAACGGGAGCUCACCCCGUCGUGGGGAUUCGAACCGCUGACCUUCUGAUUGGCAAGUCCUAGGCUCUGUGGUUUAACCCACAGCGCCACCCGCAUCCCUCUAGGGUGUCUUAGGUUCCAGUAAUUCCUUGUAUUUUACCCAUACUCUAUAUAUUGGUUUCCUUAUGAUGUGAUUAAGAAAUCCCCUGUGGACUUUCACCUUUUCAUAUCCUAAAUAAGCAUGCCACCCAUAACGGUUGUUAAACCCUUCCAAAUUCAAUAGGUCUCCAUCUUGUAAUGUUAUCCACUCUUUCAACCAAUCUAAGCAGACUGAGUCAUAGUACAAAUUUAGGUCAGGUUGGAGUCCUUUCCAGCUCUACGAGACUAUGAUUCUAAUAUUCUACGAAAUGUGUCUGUUUACCAGGAAUGCAUUUUGUGAGCCUUGGCAGGGCAGACACAGCACACUCGUUUCAUGCUAGUUGCAGUCUCUGCUUUCUGUUGCCUUCUCUUAACAAUCCUAGCCUUGGUUUUGAUCGGUGAAGCUCCUUAGUUACAGCACCUCUCCAGUGGGUGCCAUUGCCAUUCUAAGAGAACAGGAGAGGUGUUCAUGGCGAGUUCUGGCACUUCUUUUUUUAAAGAUAAUAAUAUCUAUAUUCCAGCCUUCACCAGAAGAUCACAGGGCGGUUUACAGUGUAAAACCACAAAAAUGCAUGGCACAACAUCAACGAGAACAACCAAUACCCCCCAGUCCCAAAGGGUCCUCUGCUGCCCAUGUCGUGCCGCUCUUCCCAUUUCUGAAUUAGCAUGAAAUCAGUUCUGCACUCAAUAGCUGGCAUUCAUCUUCUAUAGGGGAAAAACAUGCCUGGCCCAUAAGAGCUUUGAUGGCAAAAUCCUGUGUAGACCAGUUUUGUCGUGGUGAGACUUAAACGAAACCACAGGGUUUAAAAUUUUUAUUUCUGGAAGUUUCAGCUUUAGGGUGAACUUGCACAGAAGUGGGAUUGUUCUGCAUUAAUGGGAGCUUUUGAUUCCGGAGUGUCAAGCAGUUUGGAGUGCAUUUAAAUAGUUCCUCACUUAAAACAGUUGAUGGUGCUCAAGCGAUCGCUGCCAUCAUUCACUCCCCGGAACCACAAGCACUCUGCGCUCUUGCCUCUAGCAGAACACGAUCUGAAUAUAUUAUGUAGUCCAAGGAUCCAUGUGAUUUGCUGGCAGUCUUGUGCUGUUGUUCAUUUAUAUUUAUUCAGUUUCUUUAUUGCCCUUUAUCAAAAGAUCCCAGGGUGGUGUACAACAUUAAAAACACAUUGCAGAACUUCAGUGAUAAAAACAUAAUAAAAGGCAUAAUAAUAAUAAUAAUAAAUAGUCAUCAUAAUAACAGUCCACUUUUGCACACUUUCAAAGGCCGUAGAUUAUUUAAUAGUCCUGGGGAAAGAGGAAUGUUUUUGCCUGGAACCUAAGGACGUGCAAUGGUGGUGCCAGGCGAGCCUCUCUGGGAGGAGCGUUCCACAACUGGGGGGCCACCACAGAAAAAGACCCAGCUCUUUAAAGAAGUUGUAGGCCAGCCCUGUUCAUAGUAGAAGCCAUGGUAGAAGCUGACAAAGUUGUGUAGGACAGAGCUGAAGCUCAUACUAUGGUGUGUGUGUGUGUGUGUGUGUGUGUGUGUGUGACUAACGUGGCUCUCUAGAUGUUGCUGGACUCCAACUCUUAUCACCCCCAACUUGCAUGGGCUAGUAGCCAAGGAUGAUGGGAGUUGUAGUCCAGCCACGUGGGGAGGCUCAGAGGUGAGCCACCCCUGCAAUAAAGGACGAAGUAGGCGAAAUCGGGGUCUCAAUCCAAGUCUCCUGGAUCAGGCCAGACCUGCUUCUUUCGCAUUGUGCCCUCCAAUAUCGGGUGCCGAGUAUGAGCAAAGCAUAGAAAUGGCACAAUAUUCAUUCCCAUUUGGGUUGGCUGGCAACAGUUACGUUAAAGGUAAAGGUAAAGGGACCCCUGACCAUUAGGUCCAGUCGCGGACGACUCUGGGGUUGCGGCGCUCAUCUCACUUUACUGGCUGAGGGAGCCGGCGUACAGCUUCCGGGUCAUGUGGCCAGCAUGAUUAAGCCGCUUCUGGCGAACCAGAGCAGCAACAUGGAAACGCUGUUACCUUCCCACUGGAGUGGUACCUAUUUAUCUACUUGCACUUUGAUGUGCUUUUGAUAUGUUAGGUUGGCAGGAGCAGGGACCGAGCAACAGGAGCUCACCCCGUUGCGGGGAUUUGAACCGCUGACCUUCUGAUUGGCAAGUCCUAGGCUCUGUGGUUUAACCCACAGUGCUACCCGCAUCCCUAACAAUUACGUUACAAAGGCUUAUUUCAUUUAAAAACAAUUGGUACCAGAUCUUAAGUCAUAAAUGUCAUCUGUGUGCAGCAGCAGAGCAGGACUUCAGCGUCGUUGUUUGUGAAGGCAACCAUCGUGGUCUCCAGACCUAAAUUAUUUUCAGCAAUGCAUGCGCAGUUCUGAUGCACUUUCUUAACAUGAAAUAUGUCGUGUGGAAUGAGAGGAAUUGAGAACCGACAGUGCUGUUCUUUCAACGAGUAGGGGAAGCAAAACCUUCUGAUUCUCUCCCACCCCCUUUUAAAAAAAUGCUUUCUGUCACACAUCCCCUUCUUGAUUCAGUGUCGUUUGAGGCUGGCAUGUACCAAGUGUUCGCUGCGUUCUGCAUGCUGUUUCCGACCUGUCAGCAGCUGUUAAGGCUGUGACAGCAAGAUAAAAGGCGAUGUUCUGAAGUCUGAAGGUUUCUCAAAACCACAUCCCAGGCUCUCACAAUUCUUGUUUGCAAUGUUCGGAAGUAAAAUUGAGCAGAGCUCGCACACGGCUCUGAGUUGCACAUGACUGGCAGAUCUGCUUUGUGGGCAUCGGCUGAGGAUGAGGACAGUUCUUGCGUUCUUGGGUCCAUCUUUCGGCACGGAAGAUGGCUUGGCAAGUUAGGCUGCCUCUCGCUGUUUGGGGCACACCCUCUGGUCGCCAGUUGCAACCGUCAUGCGCCGUGGGUCCCAGCGCUCCGUGACACGAUGUUCGUGACAAUUUCGGGUAAAGUGAAAUCCCUCCCAUUUUUCAAUAUUUGUGUGUGAGUGCGUGAGAGAGAGAGAGAAGUAAUUUGAACAGAAAAAUAGUGACAUGCUUUUCGUUCUGAAAAAAAUGAAACCAAUAUUUGUGUGUGUUUCAGUAACUGGGGCAUGACUCUGUUUUCCCCCUCUGGUUGUGGUGCUCAACAGGAGAGUGCUCUUAUGUUGUGGCUUCCAGAUGCAAUUAAGGCUAUUUUCAAGCAUCCUUUUUGCUGCUUCUGAAUAUGCGCUGUGCCUCUGCACUUUAUGUUUAAGAGCAGGAAAUCUUGGAUUUAAAUCUGUUGAUUUAAAGCAGAGUCCAGCGGAAGGAUGAGGAAAAUGUGCUGCAUACUCUAUAUUGCUUUAUUUACAGUUCAAAGCUGGUAUAUUACAGAAAGACAUCUUGCCUCUGCAAGAGCAGAAAAUGCAUCCUCUCUCCUCGACAGCUCGGAGAGAAUCACACAGUGAAAAAACAGGAAACCAGUGUACGUCACAUCCAGUCUCCCUUUCCCGUGAGAAACUCCAACAGUACAGUACAGUACAGACUGUGGAAUGUAAACACCUGUCUUGUGACUGCAGUUGCUGCACAGUGAAGGAAAGCAGAAACUAACAUCCUCCCCCUUUCUGUGAACAUCACUGGGCAGCGUGUUCGUACAAUAUCAGUACAAACCCAACUUCUGCACAUAGGUACAGUGUUGAUCCCUCGAUACAAUCUUGGACAAUACAUCAGCAGGAAUUUCAUUACCUGGCAUAUAGGACACCGUUACGAGUCCCUUCUGAAUACAUUCCCUAGCAUGCUGCAACUUUAAUUGUAAGUGCUUUGUGCUUUGCUUACAACCUUCAGACUUCAGCAAAGCCAAACAUGCUUUGUUGUCCUGGUAAACCUGGAUUGGACAUUUGACAGGAAUUUUCAUAUCUUUGCACAAUUGUACUAACCAUUCACAAUCCUUAAGUGAAUAAGACAGUGCAUUCAGUUCGGCUUCACAAGUACUUAAGCUAACUGUUGUUUGCUUCUUGCAUGACCAAUCAAACAGACUCUGAUUGUACAUAUAGCAAACUCCAGACGUACUUUUCCUGUCUGUAGCGUCACUUCCAAAACUUGCAUCUGCAAAUAUCUCAAGACCACCAGACUUCUGAUUGUUAAAUCUCAGUCUGUAAUGCAUAGUGCCUUUCAAAUACCGCGCUAUGCGUUUCAGAGCUUUCCAAUCCUUGACACUCGGAUUGUUGACUUGUCUGCUUAGCAAAUUACAGCUAACAGCAAUGUCUGGUCUUGAACAUCUGGCAAUGAAGUUUAGCUUGCCUAGCACACUCCUGUACAGUGUAGUGUCAGAAAAUGCUUCUUCAGUGUCAUCUACCUGAUAACUUGUUGUCAUCGGUGUGUCUACAGGGUUAGCAUCCAUCAGAUUUAGUUUGCUUAACACAUCAGCAAUUUUCCGUGACUGGUGUACUAGAAUGUUACCAUCUUGAUCUCUCUCUAUUUCCAGAGAUAGGUAGUUGUUUACCUCACCAAGAUCUUUCAUGUCAAAGUGCUCUUUCAGUUGAGCUAGGCGCUAUUGUACAUUGCAACAUCUUUCCAAAAGAAUAAUAAAUCAUCAACAUAAAACAAACAGUACAGUUUCUUUUGCCCCUCCUCUUUGACAAAUACACAUGGAUCAGCUUUCCCUUGCUGAAAACCUAGAGAAAACAAUACUUCAGUGAGUUUUGUGUGCCAACACCGUGCACUUUGUUUGAGACCAUAAAGGGAUUUCUUCAGAGCACAAACAAAUCCCUGUUUUACCUGUACGCCAUCAGGUGGAAGCAUAUAAAGUGAUUCAUCUAGAGAUCCGUACAGAAAAGCUGUAUUAAUAUCAUGGUGACUAAUGUGUAGAUUUUCCUCUGCAGCUAGCUUGAGCAUAAGCCUAAUGCUUUCAUAUCUCACUGUGGGUGAAUAGGUCUCGUGAUAGUCUUCACCUGGUACCUGUGCAAAACCUCUGGCUACCAAUCUGGCUUUGUGUCUGACUAUCUUGCCAUUUUGAUCUGUCUUCGCUUUGAAGACCCAUUUGCUUCCAAGCAGUUUCAUUCCUGGAACUACUGGAACUAGCUCCCAUGUUUUGUUCCUUUCUAAGGAAUCAAGCUCAGCCUUCAUGGCAUUUAACCAUGGCUCAGCUUCCUUUGAAUCCAAACCCUGGAUUUCUUGGAAACUUGAAGGUUCAAAUACCUUCUUGGAGCUUUUAACAGCUGUUACUGCUAUCGUAGCAAACUCAUCAGCAAAUCUCUUUGGAGGUUUGCCUUUUGUGGCUCUCUGUGACCUACGAACUAUCCUUAAGUCUUCAACACUCUCCUCUUCCUUCUUAGGAGAAAAACGACCUAUUGUGAACAAUGGUUCCUCCAAUUCUUGAUCAGAGCUUUCAGAGGGUCGCAUAGAGGCUUUCGCACUCUUGAAAUCCUCUGAAUCACCCGAUUCAGUUUCAGAUUCAGACUCAGAACCUUCAUCAGUGGGUGUGGGCUGUUGUGGUUGCUUUUGACUAUCCUCAGUCUCAUCACCGUCAUCAGGAUAACAUUGGAAAAUUCCCACAUUCUCCCCACUUGGCAUUGUACUCGACACUUCUCGUGAGCUUAAUUGUCUUAGAGUCAGUCAUCAUUAUUCUGUAAGACCCUUUCUGAUAACCUAGAAAGAUACCAUGCAAUCCACGCUUGUCUAACUUGGAGUUUUGUGGUGAGCGAACCCACAUGUCAGAACCAAAAAUCUUCAUGUGUUUGAUGUAUGGCUUCUUGCCAAACAUCUUCUCAUAGAAGUACAACCAAUCGCUGAAGAUAGCCUGCGAUUGUAACUGUAAACAAAACACGAGAGAGAUUCGGCCCAAUAACUCUCUGGAAGAUUGGCAUCAUGCAGCAAGGUUUUUAAUCCUUGAAGCAAUGUCUGAUUUGCCCGUUCCGCAAGUCCAUUCUGCCAUGGCGAGCGAGGACUAGACAAAUCGUGUUGAAUUCCUUUCUCAGUCAGAAAAGCUUCAAACUGCUGAGAAGUGAAUUCCCCCCCGCGAUCACUGAAAAGUGUCUUUAUCUUCUUACCAUGCACAUUUUCCAACCAAGCACAGAAUUCCUUGAACCUAGGAAAAGCCUCCGAUUUCUGCUUGAGAUUGUACACAAAAAUAUAUCUAGAAAAUGCAUCAAUGAGAACCAUGAAGUAUCUAUUUCCACCCAAAGAGGGCGUAAGUGGUCCAACCAAAUCAGCAUGAACAACCUGGUAUGGUUCUGUAGCUUUCCUACUAGACACCUUACCUUUCGUAGCCAUUUUCACCUUGUUUGCUGCGCAUGCUUUGCACUUCAUGUGGUACCUGCAGGGUUUAAUAGUCAUACCUUCAACCAAGGCAGGCAUUUUAGAUACUGCCUCAAAAUGCAAAUGACCAAAUUUGCGAUGAAAAUCGUGAAUACAUUCUGCAUGUAAACUUUUGUUAGAACCUGCAAUGCAACAAGUGUCAUCCUGCACCACAUCAUCAUAAUACAAAACAAACAAACGAUCAACAUAUUCUGCAUGCAAUACAUAAUCAUUUUUCUUUGUGAUGAUGCACUUCUUGUUCUUGAAGGAAACGUCAAUGUUCCGCUCAUUCAGCUGUCCAACGCUGAGCAGAUUAUGUUUGGCGUCUGGCACGUAAAGCACAUUCUGUAUCGAUAAGUCCAAACUGUGAAGAACAACAGUUCCGUAGCCUUUACUGGGAAUAGUGUGGUCAUCCGCCUGGUGAAUCGCACCUUCCUGCGGUGUAAAAGACACAAACAGUUUCUUAUCGUUGCACAUGUGGUGGGUCGCCGCUGAAUCAACAACGAAGAAAGAUCUAGACGUCUUCUGGACCUCUGCAACCUUUGGAGUGAAGCGUGAAACCAUAGCCUUGUGCUGCGUUGUCCUUGACACCGGACCUUUGCCUUUGCCUCGGCCUUUCCGCGUGAUGAGCUUUCGCUGCGCUGCUCUGUCUUGGCCCUGGGAUGUCUGCAUUCCCUCUUCAUAUGGCCUAGACGUCCACACGUGUAGCAUUUCACUGCCUUCAAAGCUUUGGCGCCAUCUGGUGGUUCCACUGCACUAUGGGAUGACGUCUGUGAAGACUCCCCUUGCCCAUGCAGCUAGCACCCCGGCGAUCUGCUUCAUUUAAAAUCACGGCAGUAACAAAGUCCACUGUCAGCUGAGCAGUUGGUUGCACAGCAAUCUGGGUUGCAACAGACUCCCAACCUGAACCCAAAGAUUGUAGUAUCAUGAAAGAAUACACAGCCUCUGGAAAGUUGAGUCCUCUCUGUUGCAGCUCAUGUCUCAGAUUUUGCAUCUCCAUCAGAUGUAAACGCACAUCUCCACCUUCAGCAAGAGCCAUAUUAUGCAGCUUGUUAAAGUAGAACAUAGUUGAUCCAGCUUCUGUCCUUAAGUGAGCCUCUCUCAAAGCGUCCCAAAUUUCUCUGGCUGAGGUCUUAUCACGCAAUAGACAGAGCUCUUCUGGGGAUACUAUCAAUGUAAGAGUUCCCCUUGCUUUGGAAUCCUUAGCUUCCCAUGCAUCUGUAACUGGAACUGGGGGUUGCUGUAAUCACCUCAAACAAACCCUCUUUCCGCAGAAUUGCCUCUGCAUACUGAACCCAGUCGCUGUAAUUUUUCUUAUUGAGCUUAGGAAUCCUACAAGCAUCCUGAAGGGCCAUCAUGACUCUGGCAUUAGCCUUCAGCGUCAUAUGCUGCUUUAAAUCUUGCUGCGUCACUGCUGCAGCUGCCUCAUUACAAAGGCACACUUAAAAGUUACUUCGAUUUCCCCAGCAUAGUGACUUGUGCCUGGGAGCCUUUUGCCUAUUCCCGGCAAAACCGGCUUUAAAAGUUCAAAGUCCAGCCAUAAAGCCAUUAUCUUGAAGCUGGCAGGCUGCCCGGAGCAGUAGCACAUACCUCAUCAAUCACUUCUACGCGCAGAGCAGAUUCCUUUCCGAUCCGUCCCUCCCUCUGCAUUCCGAUCCUUUUGCCGGCACUCCGAUUCGACCUCUGGGCCCAUAACCACGUGUUGAUUUAAAGCAGAGUCCAGCGGAAGGAUGAGGAAAAUGUGCUGCAUACUCUAUAUUGCUUUAUUUACAGUUCAAAGCUGGUAUAUUACAGAAAGACAUCUUGCCUCUGCAAGAGCAGAAAAUGCAUCCUCUCUCCUGGACAGCUCGGAGAGAAUCACACAGUGAAAAAAACAGGAAACCAGUGUACGUCACAUCCAGUCUCCCUUUCCCGUGAGAAACUCCAACAGUACAGUACAGUACAGACUGUGGAAUGUAAACACCUGUCUUGUGACUGCAGUUGCUGCACAGUGAAGGAAAGCAGAAACUAACACUCGGAGCCUCUUAUUGUCCCUCCGUUUUAAAAAUAACUACCCUCCUUAUCUAGCGAAGGAUGCCUCCGGCAAUAGCAGGAAUGCAUUCCCUCGGUUUGAGUCAUAGCGAAAUAGCAUGGAGGGAAAGAGAAAGGAGAUGUUGACAAGGAGACCCUGGAUGGCGAAGCUUUAAAUUCAGCCCUUGCACGGGAGAAUUGGCAAUACGGCUUUGGAUGAGAUUUACGUUUAUCUCCUCCGGUGAGAGCCGCUUUCCGAGCAUCUGCUGACGUAUUCUGCCUUGAACGAAGGGAGCUUUAUAUAACCCACUUCAGCUGGGGCACUUCCGUUGCUCCUUUCAUUCUUUGCACCCCGGAAAGUAGAAGUUCGGUGCUGCAGCAGCACAUUUUAGCGACCCUCCUGCUGCCGUUUCCCCAAAUCAUUUGGCAAACCUAGAAGCCUGGCUUAUUACAGGUGUGUACAUUUCCUUGGGGACGUGGGUGGCGCCGUGGGUUAAACCACAGAGCCCAGGGCUUGCCGAUCAGAAGGUCGGCGGUUCGAAUCCCCGCGACGGGGUGAGUUCCCGUUGCUCGGUCCCAGCUCCUGCCAACCUAGCAGUUCAAAAGCAUGUCAGAAUGCAAGUAGAUAAAUAGGUACCGCUCCAGUGGGGCCAGUAAAGCGAGAUGAGCGCUGCAACCCCAGAGUCGGCCACGACUGGACCUAAUGGUCAGGGGUCCCUUUACCUUUACGUUACAUUUCCUUGAGAGCAUCUGGUCCAAGGAGGAACUCGCUUUUCAAUCAGGUGCUUCACCUGUUCCUCCCAAAAGCUUAAGCCCACCAUUUCCCAACUGAACAUUAAAGGUAAAGGGACCCCUGACCAUUAGGUCCAGUCAUAACCAACUCUGGGGUUGCGGCGCUCAUCUCGCUUUACUGGCCGAGGGAGCCGGCGUACAGCUUCCGGGUCAUGUGGCCAGCAUGACUAAGCCGCUUCUGGCGAACCAGAGCAGCGCAUGGAAACGCCGUUUACCUUCCCACUGGAGCUGAACCUAUUUAUCUACUUGCACUGGUGUGCUUUCGAACUGCUAGGUUGGCAUGAGCAGGGACCGAGCAACGGGAGCUCACCCCGUCGCGGGGAUUCGAACCACUGACCUUCUGAUCGGCAAGCCCUAGGCUCUGUGGUUUAACCCACAGCGUCACCCGUGUCCCUGUGACGCACUGGGAAUUGUACAAAAAGAACUGAACAUUAGUAAUUAUUUUGGCCCUGUUUUGUGGAUCAGAUCGUAACAGAUAACAUAUCUUUGGACCAGUUCCUAUUUCUAAUGCCCUGCAAAGACUUGGUUUAUCUUUUACAAAUAUAAGAAUGCAGAAUCUGGAUAGAUGCAGAUGCAUGCACAUCAGACUCUACUUCUGUUUUCUUCUUCGGUCUGAACUCUGCUGCCCGAGGAAUACAAAGUUCAAGCUUGCAAAGCUUUUAGUGGGCUAUGUAAGCAAUUUAUUUUCAUCUUACAUCUGAAAUAUAAAGGCCUUUUGAUUUUGUUAGCUUGGUUCAUAAUACCGAAAGCAGAAAGGUAUUUUGUCACUUCUAAAGAGUAAUGAAUUGUAUUAUGAUUAGGGAUAGAAAAAGGAAUUGGGCCUUGUUUGCAUUUGCAUGCAAAUCUAAUUAAUCCAUGUGUCCUGAAGCGAUAUGUGAAACAAAAUGCAACUCUUCUUCAAAAUCUGCACUUCUGUAACCAUAAAAAAUGUGCAUAUUAUGGGAAUGUGUGCUUCCCAUAAUAUUAUGGGAAUGUGUGCUUCCCAAGAAUGCAUAUAUUAGUGAGAAAAACAUAGGAAUAUGCACUGUAUUAGGGGAAAUCACUUGCAAAAUCUGCACGUUGGGCAAAAUUGCAAAGAAAAAUAUGUGUGUUAGGAUUAAUGGAUGCUAAAGCACUGACGAAUCUCUGGGAGGAUUUUAAAUAAAACAUCUAGAAAGCGAUGUGGAAAUGAGGCAAAUGGAACCUAUGUUUGAAAAACGAGAAACGAAAAUGGACAGAUCCACACUAUAAAUAUUUGUGAACGAGGUUGCGCUUCUGAGAAAGUGGACUCCGGUCAACAGAAACGUUUGCCGUAAUAAAUUUAUUGUGCCUUUUAAGAUGCCUCAAGACUCUUGACUGGUUUGGCAGCUGUAGAGCAGCAGAGCUACCUCUCUGGAAAUUGGGGGAAAGCAAAGUUCUCUUCUGGGGCGAGGUGCAGUUGCGCAGCUAGAUAAGGAAUAUACAGACAGCUUUGACACUGGUAAUCAUGUUGUGCGGAUGCCUGAUUAUCGUCUUCCAAAGCAACUACUCUAUUCCGAACUUAAAAAUGGAAGGCGUAAUGCUGGUGGUCAGCAAAAGAGGUUUAAAGACUGUCUCAAGGCAAAUCUUUAAAAAAUGUUGUAUAAACACCGACAACUGGGAAGCACUGGCCUGCGAGUGCUCCAACUGGAGAACAGCCUUUACCAAAGGUGUCAUGGGCUUUGAAGACACUCGAACUCAGGACGAAAGGGAGAAACGUGCUAAGAGGAAGGCAUGCUUGGCAAAUCCACACCGUGAUCAACUCCCACCCGGAAACCUAUGUCCCCACUGUGGAAGGACGUGUGGAUCCAGAAUUAGCCUCCACAGUCACUUACGGACUCAUCGUUAAGACCAUUUUCACGGAAGACAAUCUUACUCAGCUAGGUAAGGUAAAGGUAAAGGUAAAGGUACCCCUGCCCGUACGGGCCAGUCUUGACAGACUCUAGGGUUGUGCGCCCAUCUCACUCAAGAGGCCGGGGGCCAGCGCUGUCCGGAGACACUUCCGGGUCACGUGGCCAGCGUGACAAAGCCGCAUCUGGCGAGCCAGCGCAGCACACGGAAACGCUGUUUACCUUCCCGCCAAUAAGCGGUCCCUAUUUAUCUACUUGCACCCGGGGGUGCUUUCGAACUGCUAGGUUGGCAGGCGCUGGGACUGAGCAACGGGAGCGCACCCCGCCGCGGGGAUUCGAACCGCCGACCUUUCGAUCGGCAAGCCCUAGGCGCUGAGGCUUUUACCCACAGCGCCACCCGCGUCCCUACUCAGCUAGGAGUGAUCGCCAAAGAAGAAUAAAUGCACACAGCAUAUGCAAGAACAUUGAACCCCACAUCGUAUCUGAAACCCUCUUGCGGUCAAAGCUCUCCAAUACAAACACACAUGCGGAAUAGUUGCGAUGGAACUGGAAGCAUCUUUGCCUGCCUGCUAUGCCAAAAAGCUCUGUGUACUAACAGACGGUAGUGGCUGCUGGGGCACCCGGCGUAAUAAAAUUUGGCCGGAGACGUGAUGUUCUGCUAGGCUAAUGACCUGUGAAAGUAUGGAAGAGGGGCUUUGGUGGUUGUUAAGUGCUGCAACAGAGAAGGAAACCAAGGAUGCGUAUGGAAGGCAAGGCUGGAGCCAAGAGAUUCUUGCUUUUGCUGAUUGACUCCGCAGAUCCCGUUUUGCAGCAUUCCCCCGACAGUUGAAUGGGACCCGUCCCCUGCGGUUCCAGCACCCGGGAGGUGGCUCCAGCCCUGGGGAUGUGCCGUGGGGUCAGGGCGUGUGGAAAGGGCUUCCUGAUAAACCGGGGCCUUCGGCAUCGGAGCCGAGUCCACGAUUCUGCCGUGCGACUGUGGGAAAAUAGCUGUGGGGGCUCCAACAUGGAGUGUCUGCUCUGAGUUGCUCCAAGAACAGCUUGUUCAGGCCUUUAGUCUUUCCAAGGGGAAUGGAGGCAGCAGGAAAAGGCAGACAAAACUAUUGAAGGGGCUUCCAUGCAUGGACAAGUAGCAAAGUUUGAGGCUUUUUUUUUUAUUUAGAGAGAAGGCAAGUAAGCAGGUUUAUGUUAGAGGUGUGUGAUGUGGAGAAACUAGACGUCCUGGCUGGAUUUCUGUAUUUAUCCCCGUUUUGCUUUUUAAAUAUUGUGGGUUUGUGCACCGCUUAGAAAUUACAAGAAUAUUAAGCCGUCCAGAAAUACUUUUAAAUCAAAAAAUCUCUUACCUUUAAAGCCAAAAUAAAAUUGGGGGGAACUUAUAACAUCAAUUUUUCUAAGACAAGGUGAAAAUCCAGUCUAUUCCUAGGUAAAGGUAAAGGUAAAGGGACCCUUGACCAUUAGGUCCAGUCGUGACCGACUCUGGGGUUGCGGUGCUUAUCUCGCUUUAUUGGCCGAGGGAGCCACAGUUUCCGGGUCAUGUGGCCAGCAUGGCUAAGCCGCUUCUGGCGAACCAGAGCAGUGCACGAAAACGCCUUUUACCUUCCUGCCAGAGUGGUACCUAUUUAUCUACUUGAACUUGAUGUGCUUUUGAACUGCUAGGUGGGCAGGAGCAGGGACCAAGCAACGGGAGCUCACCCCGUCGCGGGGAUUUGAACCGUCCACCUUCUGAUCGGCAAGUCCUAGGCUCUGUGGUUUAACUCACAGUGCCACCCGCGUCCCAGUCUAUUCCUAGGGAAACACAAAAUCCCAUAUCUGGAUUCUUCAGGCAACCCGCUAGGUUUGGAUUUUACUGCCUUUUGAACUCAUUGGAGUUACUCAAAAUAUAACAGGGCAGGCAGAAGGACAAUACACACAUAUAGUACACAGGCAACAUUUGACACUUAACCCUUGGUAUUUUCUACAAUCAUUAAGAAGAUAUUAGCAGAAUGAGACCAUUGCAGCAGCAGAAGUCAGUUUGUUAAAACGCACCUUAUGAAAAGAAAAUUUUGUUUUUUCUCCAAAAUGGGAAGCGAGGGAGCUUCCUUGUGAAGACAGUCCUGUAGCUGUGGAAAGCCUUUCCUUGGUACCCGAUAAUAGAAUAAUCGAUACAGGAAGAGCACGCCUUAAAGCAUGGGCAGAGUGCCUUCUCCCCGCGCACAGAUUGACUACAGCCUGUCAUUAAGAAACAGGGGGUCAAUUGCCUACCAGCCCACCCAUUAAUCCUAGCUUGCCAACUCUUGAACUCGUUUCAGCCUUUUUUUACUUUACUGGCGGCGUGUAAAGGUAAAGGGACCCCUGACCAUUAGGUCCAGUCGUGACCGACUCUGGGGUUGUGGCGCUCAUCUCGCUUUAUUGGCCGAGGGAGCCGGCGUACAGCUUCCGGGUCAUGUGGCCAGCAUGACUAAGCCGCUUCUGGCGAACCAGAGCAGCACACGGAAACACCGUUUACCUUCCCGCCGGAGCGGUACCUAUUUAUCUACUUGCCCUUUGACAUGUUUUCGAACUGCUAGGUUGGCAGGAGCAGGGACCGAGCAACGGGAGCUCACCCCGUCGCGGGGAUUCGAACUGCUGACCUUCUGAUCAGCAAGCCCUAGGCUCUGUGGUUUAACCCACAGCGCCACCCACGUCAGCGGCGUACAAACCAUGCCUUUAAUGCAUAUUUUUAUAACAUAAUUUCCCCCAAAGAAUCCUGGGAGCUGUACUUUAUGCUUCAUAAAGCUACAAUUCCCAGCACCCUGAGCAAACUACGGAUCCCAGGGACCAUUUUCUGACAGACUCUUCCUUCCUGGUACUGACUAAAGCUCCGCGUGCCUGGCGUGCAUUUAAAGCACCCGCCCUCUAGAAUCUAGGGACGUGUAGUUUGCCACUGGCAGAGCUACAAUUCCUUAACAGACGCCAGCUCCCAGGUUUCUUUGGGUGAAGUCGCAUACUUUAAAUGCUCGGCGAAUAUGAAGCCUACAUGUGCGCAGGAUGAGUCACAGGCCGGGGUGAGCUGGAAGACUCAGAAAUGCCUGCCAAGCUCAUGGGCUCGUGUAUCACCUCUUUGUCCUCCUGGCACAAGCGAUCUCGUCAUUCGCAGUUCCACGCAGAAACACAGUGCUCUGCGAGUGACUCAAGCGGUUGAAACGCCCUGGGAUUUAUUGUCUGUGGAGUCGGGGGGCUUGCUCUGAAUUGCAAUGCAUUCACCUACAAAGCGUAUUUGAGUGUUGGAGAAUUCGGUUGGAAACUGAAAUGGGAGUGGACGUUGCCUCGGUUUUUACGUUUGUCUUGAGGUCAGAAAUGGAAAUCACGCAAGCAGAUAUGUUCACUGGGUUUUUUUUAGUCCACGAUUACUCCAUCAAUAAUUACGUUGUGUUGUGCAUUGUUUCUGACAUUUCCAUUCCGCUGAAACGCAUUGACAUCAAUUGCAAUUACAGAGGAAGCUCGGGCUGCGAAUGUGAUCUGUGCGGGAUGCACAUUCACAACCCGCAGCGCCGCGUCAGCGCAGGCGCGGGUUGCGAUUUGGCACUUCUGCGCAUGUACAAAGUGCAAUUUAGCGCUUCUGCGCAUGCGCAACCAGCAAAACCUGGAAAUAACCCAUUCUGGUACUGGGUUUUGGCGGUCCAUAACUCGAAAAAACGUGACCUGAAGCAUCUGUAACCCGAGGUAGGACUGUAUUGAAAUCUUUUUCAAUAGCAAGACAGCAAGACGAAUAACGUACGUUUUUGCAGAAGCAGAACUGCAUCACGAUGGAAAGAGCGUCGAUUGCAAAUUAAAAAGGAAGGGACAGAAACUGCUGCCUCCUUGCAUCCCAGGUCCUGGAUGCGUUAGGAACUUAAGGGCUGUUUGGUAGACAGCGGAGUUGACACGGCAUAUCCACUUGCUGCAAAAUUCUAAGUCAUGUUUUUUGGUGUGUCUUAUUUAGCAAAGCAUACGAAGGGAAGCUGAAACACCCUCAAAAUGUCUCAAGGGGUUUUGCAUAUCCCUAGCUGAGAGCCGGUUUUCGACGCCACAAAUUGCCAUGCAUUUGCAUUGUGCAAAGCACAGAGAGCAUGCCACAAGGCGGUCAUGGUACAUGGACCCAGCACCAUGUGACAGGGCAUGGUAGGUGCUCCCCGUAAUUGCUAAGUGUGACAGCUCUCUGUGACAGCUGUUUUCUAAUUGUGCAUUCAUGUCGAGUUCACUUCCUUAAAUAUAAUGAACCUCCUCCAAACCUUGCCCUGUAAACCAAGUGGAACACAGACGCGGCAGAGGCAGUAUCUGGAAUCCAAAUGUGAAUGUCUUCCUCUGCAUUUUUCAUGCACCCAGCUUCUAAGGAAAUGCACCUUCAACUAGCUAUGUGCAUCUCCAGGUCUCCCUUGCCAACAGAAGAUCUUGCAUUUGCAAACCCUCCUUGCCUGUGUUGGGUCAUGGAGAUGCCCCCAGAGGAAGAUUUUGUGCUAUUCUCUCAAUAAUAAUAAUAUAUUUCCCCAGCCACUUUGGGCAGCUUCCAACAAAAUAUUAAAAAUACAAUAAAUCAUCAAACAUUAAAAGCUUCCCUAAACAGAGCUGCCUUCAGAUGUCAUCUAAAAGUCAGAUAGUUGUUUGUUUCCUUGACAUCUGGUGAGAGGGCUUUCCACAGGGUGGGUGCCACUACCGAGAAGGCCCUCUGUCUGGUUCCCUGUAAUCUCACAUCUUGCAGGGAGGGAACCGCCAGAAGGCCCUUGGAGCUGGACCUCAGUGUCUGGGCAGAACGAUGGGGGUGGAGAUGCUCCUUCAGGUAUACAGGACUGAGGCCAUUUAGAGCUUUGAAGGUCAGCACCAAUACUUUGAAUUGUGCUCGGAAACGUACUGGGAGCCAAUGUAGGUCUUUCAAGACCAGUGUUAUGUGGUGUCAGCGGCUGCCCCCAGUCACCAGUCUCGCUGCCGCAUUCUGGAUUAGUUGUUUCCGGGUCACCUUCAAAGGUAGCCCCACAUAGAGCGCAUUGCAGUAGUCCAAGCGGGAGAUAACCAGAGCAUCCCAAGCGGACGCUGCCUCUUUCUGAUCUGCUCCUGUGCUGAUGGCGACUGCCUGGGCAGAAAGGGGAUUUUCCUGUACAUUUCUUAAGGUCACGGUUUUUAGGGCUCGUUCACCACUGCGGCUUACAUCUGACCCACCCCGAAGCAGCUGAAACUAUUAACCCAGCAAAGCUUUUGUUUGACGUAAGCCCUGCCCUUUAAGCGCCUUUGCGGAAGCCACGGACUGACGCAGGAUCGACCAGCCCUCCUCUAUGCUGCUGCUUGCUAUCGAAUGAUAGGUCACUCACUGGGAACGGCAUGCACCACGGCAACAUCUUGAGAGGUUCUGCACAUUCUCUCCUGCACAUAUGACGUUGGGCACGCCUAGCUGCUUUCGUGUGUCCCACCUGCAUACCCAGACGCUCUUCCUGGUCUUGGGCCAUGGGUUUCACCCUGGCAACACUGCUUCUUGGCAAUCUCCCCCAUGAAACUCCUUGAAGGGGUUGUGUUUGAAGUUCUCUGAACAUGUGCAGAGUAGAGUGUCUUUGGCAGAGUGCCAACACUACCUCCCUUUCCAACAGAACUGGGAGUAGGUCUGAUAUACUUGGGUUUUUCCCCUCCUUACACAAAGGUGCACUGCAUAGCUGCUCUCCAGCAGGGAAGGCAGGACCCAUGUUCUGUGAGAUUACAGUGGUACCUCGGGUUAUGAACUUAAUUCAUCCCGGAGGUCCGUUCUUAACCCAAAACCGUUCUUAACCUGAGGCAUACUUUCGCUAAUGGGGCCUCCCGCUGCCACCGUGCCGGCAGCGUGCGAUUUCCGUUCUCAUCCUGGGGCAAAGUUCUCAACCCGAGGUACUACUUCUGGGUUAGCGGAGUUUGUAACCCGAAGUAACCCAAAGCGUUCGUAACCUGAGGUACCACUGUAUUGUUGAAAUUCAGCACUAGGUGUUUUAUCGACUGUGGGGGAAGAUGUCAUUUAUUUCUGAUGAAAACAAGAAUUGAAUUUGUGGCUGUUUGCUUAUUCAUUCCAUAUCCAUAAUGCAAUCAAUUAUGCAAAUGAUACUCUGUUGUUGUUGUUGUUAUUUAUAUCCUGUUUCUCCCCAGACUGGGACUCAAAGUGGCUUACACAAAUUAGAACCACAGAGAUGAAAUACAAAAAGCUUUUAAAAAAGAAGUUAAAAAGUAAUUCAACAUACAGUCGUACCUCGGGUUACAGACCCUUCAGGUUGCACGAUUUCGGUACCGGAAGUACCGGAACUGGUUACUUCAGGGUUUAGGUGCUUUGCACAUGCACAGAAGCGCUGAAUCGCAACCUGCGCAUGCGAACAUGCGGCACUGCUGGUUGCGAACGCUGCGGGUUGCGAACGUGCUUCCCGCACGGAUCACAUUCACAACCCGAGCGUCCACUGUAUUUCAUUAUGUCCUCACCCGCUUUGCAUUGCAUUUCCUCUGCAUUGAAAUGAAUGCUGUGAAAUGACUUAUUGAUGACAUAAUUUACCUAGUUCAUUCUGUAAAUUAUGUAGCUUACGUAAUUUGGCCACAGUGGACAGCGAGACAAAUAAUGUACGUUUUGGUGGAAUACCAGCUGCAGUGGAAUGGAAACAGUGCGGCCUGCGACUUAUACAGGGUGGAACGGAAAACGAUGCUUUCUUACAUCCCAAAGGUGUUAAAUAAGAAUAAGAAUGAAAUAAUUAAUUAUUAUAUUUACAUACCACCUUUCUUUCCAAUGAGCUCAAAGUAGUGUACACGGUGUAGUGGUUAAGAGCGGUGGACUCGUAAUCUGGUGAACCGGGUUCGCUUCCCCGCUCCUCCACAUGCAGCUGCUGGGUGACCUUGGGCUAGUCACACUUCUCUGAAGUCUCUCAGCCCCACUCACCUCACAGAGUGUUUGUUGUGGAGAAAGGAGAAUGUUAGCCGCUUUGAGACUCCUUAGGGUAGUGAUAAAGCGGGAUAUCAAAUCCAAACUCUUCUUCUUCUUAUAUGCUCGCAACAACCCUGUAAGGUAGGCUAGGCUGAGAGGCAAGGGCUGGUCUCCAAGGUCCCCCCAGUGAGCAUCAUGGGGCUGAGUGGGGAUUCGAACCCUGCUCUCCCAGGUCCUAUUCCAACACUCUUAACCGCGGCGUUGCAGAUUGUGUCCCACUGUUUGUAUUAGGAGGUUCUCCUCGUGGGAAAACAGAGCUCGUAAAUGCUGACAGAUUUUAUUCUCUCCUUCUCUCUUAAACGGUAACAUAGAUGUGGCAUCCCUGCUGGGAGAAAUCGAGAUGUGUGAAAGAAGUUCAGGAUGUUCUGGCUUUUGCCUGGGAGGGAUACCCUCUCGUUGUGAAAAAGGGCCUGCGUCCCACAUUAGCUCUUUUAGGGAAGGAGCGUGCAGCCAGCGUUUACUCACAACAAUAAAAACAAAACAGCCACCCUCGGCCCUGAAUGCAUUUUGGCACAAAAGCACCAUUAAGGACAUUUGUUUGGCGUGUGUGUCCAGCCGGCUGGCCCAGAAACUGCAAUCCUGGCUGCCUUUUGGGAAGGCAGAUCUAGCCAAUAAAUUCCAGAAUUAGCAGUAAACAGACCCAUUUCCUAGGAAACUCUGGCAUGAGGUCGGAGGGGAAAUCCCUGCUCGUUUGGCCCCAGAAGAUUCUCCGCCGCUGUGCUGGACCAUGUUUGGAAGAGACCACGUUUAAUGUUGGAAAAGAUGGAGAGCAGGGGCCUCGUCUGCAGGAAUGUGCAAGAGCCACAUCGUUUGGGGUCGCUGAAAGAAAAGGAGGUGGCAAAGAUCACCAAAAGGACCUCUUUUCAAACUAAGUGGAUGGGCAGUAAAACGGCGAAUGCAAUUCAGUGUAGACAAAUGUAAAGUGAUAGGGGGCGGGAACUUAUGCCUUAUGAGGAACGGCUAAGGGAGCUGGGCAUGUUUAGCCUGGAGAAGAGGAGGUUAAGGGGUGAUAUGAUAGCCAUGUUCAAAUAUAUAAAAGGAUGUCACAUAGAGGAGGGAGAAAGGUUGUUUUCUGCUGCUCCAGAGAAGCGGACACGGAACAAUGGAUCCAAACUACAAGAAAGAAGAUUCCACCUAAACAUUAGGAAGAACUUCCUGACAGUAAGAACUGUUCGACAGUGGAAUUUGCUGCCAAGGAGUGUGGUGGAGUCUCCUUCUUUGGAGGUCUUUAAGCAGAGGCUUGACAACCAUAUGUCAGGAGUGCUCUGAUGGUGUUUCCUGCUUGGCAGGGGGUUGGACUUGAUGGCCCUUGUGGUCUCUUCCAACUCUAUGAUUCUUUGAACCUUAAUUUUGCAUAUAUGCAAAUGGGUUCUGAGCUGGCGGUGAUGGACCAGGAAUGAGACCUUGGAGAUAUCUUGAUGAACAUGUCAACCCACUGGGAGCAGCUCUGAACAAGGCAAGUUCGGUGCUAGGGAUCAUUAUAAAAGGAACUGUGAAUAAUGGUGCCAGAAUCCUAACGCAGGGAUACAAAUAUGUAGUGCAACCACAUUUGGAAUACUGUCUGCAGUUCUGGUCACCUCACCUGUGCUGGAAACCACAGGGGGAGAAGAGGGCUUUUGUGCUCAGAUCCGGCUUGUGAGCUUCCAAUAAUGGGUAUCUGGUUGUGUUUUUUUUUUAAAAAGGUAAAGGACCCCCGGAUGGAUGGUUAAGUCCAGUCAAAGGUGACUAUGGGGUUGUGGUGCUCAUCUUGCUUUCAGGCUGAGGGAGCCGGCAUUUGUCCACAGACAGCUUUCUGGGUCAUGUGGCCAGCAGGACUAAACUGCUUCUGGCACAACGGAACACUGUGGCGGAAACCAGAGCGCAUGGAAAUGCCGUUUACCUUCCCGCCGGAGCAGUACCUAUUUAUCUACUUGCACUGGUGUGCUUUCGAACUGCUAGGUUGGCAGGAGCCGGGACAGAGCAACGGGAGCUCACUCAGUCGCGGGGAUUCGAACCGACAACCUUCCGAUUGGCAAGCCCAAGAGGCUCAAUGGUUUAGACCACAGCGCCACCCGCCUCUGGUUAACCACUGGGCGAACAGGGUGCUGGAUGAGAUGGGCACCCUUGGGCCUGACCCGUAACACUUGCUGAUGACCACAUCAUGAAAGAUGGGUCUAUCAUUGGGCGAUAAUUCUUAUGGACCAAGUAGAAUCUCCAUCAUUAAAGUAGUGUAUCUCUUUGUUGAUGGUUGCGGAGAACAAACACAUUGACCAUCGCCUUCAUGCCCACCUUGAAAAUUUCCUAGGUGACCUAAUGAUGCUGCUGAAACCCAACUCCCAUCAGUGCCCACUGAGGUCCAGCGCCGAGGGCCUUCUGGCAGUUCCCUCAUUGCAAGAAGCAAAGUUACAGGGAACCAGGCAGAGGGCCUUCUCAGUAGUGGCACCCGCCCUGUGGAACGCCCUCCCAUCAGAUGUCAAAGAGAUAAACUACAUGACAUUCAGAAGACAUCUGAAGGCAGCCCUGUUCAGGGAAGUUUUUAAUGUGUGACAUUUUAGUGUAUUUUUGGUCUUUGUUGGAUGCUGCCCAGAGUGGCUGGGGAAACCCAGCCAGAUGUGUGGGGUACAAAUAAUAAAUUAUUAUUAUUAUUAUUAUUAUUAUUAUUAUUAUUAUCCCAAAAACUCUGGACAAUCAUCCCCCCAAAAAGUUCAAAGCUCAACAACUCUGGGCCAUCUCCCCCCUCCCCAUUUUCUUAAAUUUGAGUCCUGCAAAAUAUAGGUAGUCUUGUACGGGGGCAUGUUAUACACGGAAAAAUACUGUAUAAUCCUCCUUCUCCUCAGCCAGAGCUAAUUGAUUUGUGUGACUUGCUUGCUCAUUCAUUCUCCCUGUACUUCGUCGCUCUCUUGAUUGUGCAACCACAAGGAGCUAUCCACGGCAGCACUUCUGCAGGGGAGAAAAAGACGGGGCUGCUUGCUGGAGCCGCUGCUUUAACCUUAAUUGCCUGCGUUCUGUCACUUACCUGAGGCUGCUAGCUAGCAAAGCAGUAGGAAAGGAACUUUGCUUUCCAAAGCAGCUGGUUUUGUUCUUGCUGUUCUGGGCCUGACUCUGUCUUUGUCUGGUGAAGUGUCAGAGACUCUGGAGACAGGCAGGAAUACAGUGGUACCUCGGGUUAAGUACUUAAUUCGUCCUGGAGGUCCAUUCUUAACCUGAAACUGUUCUUAACCUGAAGCACCACUUUAGCUAAUGGGGCCUCCUGCUGCCGCCGCGCUGCAGGAGCACGAUUUCUGUUCUCAUCCUGAAGCAAAGUUCUUAACCUGAAGCACUAUUUCUGGGUUAGCGGAGUCUGCAACCUGAAGCGUAUGUAACCCAAGGUACCACUGUACCUGCCCCCUUGCCCUGUCUUUCUAUACGGUGUAGAAAGAUAAAUUCUCCGAAAAGUACAAUAGAUAGUCUGCUGCAAUGUGGCAUUGCCAUGCAGAUGCAUGGAAACAGAUUCUAAGAUUUUGCAGCAGUGAAUUUGCUCCUGUGAGCCAGUGGUUACAAUCGCAAAUGCACCCGAGUCAGACCAGACACAAAAUGAAUUUGAAAGAUUUGUUUAAAUCGCAGCGCAGGAACGAUGAAGAUAGACACACCCAGUGAUAUCUGAAAUACAAGGAGAGAAAAUAAUGCAUGAAUGAAACAGAGGAGAGCGAUUUGUAAAGGGAAAGCAUUGUUAGACUAGCAAAUAAAGUUUUUCUUUAUUUAAAAAAUGGUUAUUAUGCCCUGAUUGAAAACCUCCAGAAAAAUCCCUUCCAUCAGUUCCGACUAGUUAAAGGUUUACUAAACUGCCUUAUAGCAGCUUAACCUGAAGAUUAAGGAGCGGGGUUGGAUUAUGGCCUGCGUGGACGAAUGAGGAAAGUUGAGAAAGAUGAAACGGUUGAACAGGAGCCCAAAUGGCACAAAUCGGAAGUUAGUUCAGGAAAAAAUAGAGAAGUGUUUAAAAUUGAAAAAAGUGAAGCCUAAGACUUACAGAGGAAUAAACAGAAAGUAAAAUGAAAAUGAGGGGAAGCAAAAACCCUAUAAAUCUUGCAUCUGUUUCAGAACUGUUCAUCCUGGCUCAGGAAAAAUGCCCAAGAUCAGCUUCUGGAGGUAAAUGAGUUUCUUAUAUUUUGAGUCACUUUUUUCUCUUGCCCCAUUCCCCCCACUAAAAUUCACUUCUGUAUUGGCAAAUGAAGCAUCGAAGGCAGGCCCCUGCUAAAAGCAGGUGUUUUGCUUUAGAUGAUUUUAAAUUAUUUUGGGGGAGUGACAUAUUCCCAAGCUUAAUCUGGGCGAAGGAGUCUCCCGAAGGCCACUCUAAGCUGCUAAUGAACCUUCUAUCUUCACCCGGCCUCGUGAUCUCAGCUUGACUAAAGACUCGCCAGGCUUUCUGCUUCCAGGCAGAUGGAGAGACCUUUGUGCCUUUGAAGGAGACAGCUCUGCCUGCUUAAAACCGUGAGCCACAGCACUCUGGAGCAAUGUUUGCUCCCACUUCGUUCCUCGAGAUUCUCUUCUGCCAUGCAAGCAGACACACGUCUCCGAAAAAGAGCGGAAUAACAGGAUCAUGGGAUUGGAAACGGCAGUCUAUCGGAGAUGCCAUCAGGUUCAGAGGUGGAUCAUCUCCUGUGCUUGCAGAAGGUCUUGGGUCCAAUCCCAGGCAUCUCCAGGUGGGCCUGGGAAAAGGCUUCCUGGCUGAAACCCUGGAGAGGGCUGCUGCCAGUCAGAGUAGACAGUAUUGCCCAAUGGUGUCGCUCUGUAUAAUGCAGUUUCUUAUUCUGAUUUCUGGGCCUGCCUUUCCGUCUUGCUUCUAGACUGCAGAGAGGCGAACAGCCUAAUUUGAGUUCAACAGACACCAGCCCAGGGGAGAGCAGCCACAUCAACCUCGAAGCACCCUACUUUCGCCUGCUUGCUCGUUUCAUUUAUUUGCAGA
Molecule: long non-coding RNA, 54881 nt
Filed under: Podarcis lilfordi (Lilford's wall lizard)
Lineage: Eukaryota; Metazoa; Chordata; Lepidosauria; Squamata; Lacertidae
Rfam family: tRNA (bases 5261-5319)
Source: RNAcentral